This 61876-nucleotide long non-coding RNA is filed under the name Gossypium barbadense (sea-island cotton). Its description in RNAcentral is "long non-coding RNA (GBAR_LNC012156)". The stretch from base 32612 to 32733 matches the Rfam family "MIR7504 microRNA precursor family". Lineage: Eukaryota; Viridiplantae; Streptophyta; Magnoliopsida; Malvales; Malvaceae. The record is from RNAcentral.
AAGGUGAUAGUGAAUCGAUUUAAGAUUAUUUUGCCUAAGAUCAUAGGCCAAGAUCAAGUGGGGUUUAUUAUAGGUAGAAAUAUUAUUGACAAUGUUGUCAUAGUACAACAAGUGUUGCAUUCCAUGAAAAGUAAGAGUACAGUUCAGUGGAAAACUAUUAAGAUAGACUUAGAGAAAGCCUAUGAUAGGGUGCAUUGGGAUUUUAUAGAAGCAUAUUUUAAAGUGGUAGUUAUUUCUAACUUUCUAAUAAAUGUUAUUAUGUCGGCUAUCUCGACAUCCACAAUGUAGGUUUUAUGGAACGAAGUUCCAACCCCUAAGUUCAAGCCUGUUAGAGGAAUCCGUUAGGGGUGUCUUUUAUCUCUAUAUCUUUUUUGUGUUAUGCAUGGAAUGGUUGGCCCAUUGGUUUCAUUCGACUAUCUCAUCUAGGGAAUGAAGCCCUAUUCGGUUAUCUCGAAGAGGGCUUGCCCUUUUACAUUUAUUUUUUGCGGAUGACUUAGUGAUUUUUACCAAAGCGAACUUAUAGCGUAGCAAACUUCUUAUUGACUUGUUUGGGUGAUUCUGUGAGUUUUCCAGGCACAAGGUUAAUGUUUGGAAGACCAAUGUGUUUUUUUCUACUGGAGUCAAUAAAGACUUAGUGAGAAAGAUUAAUGAUAUACUCGGGUUCCAACACAUUUAGGAUCUUGGUCAUUAUCUGGGAGCUCCCCUUCACCAAAGAAUCACCAAAUGUACGUUGAGUUUUUUGGUAGAAAGAGUUCGGAGGAAGCUUUCUAGCUGGGAAGCCAAAGAACUCUCAUUUAUGGGAAGGCUUACUCUAGCAUAGUCAGUUUUACUUUCAAUCCCAAGCUAUCUCAUACAAUCCUUAAUGGUCUCAAAAGGCGUCUACAACGAAAUUGAAGAAAUGGUGCGGCAAUUCAUUUGGAGAUCUUCUGGUGGUAAAAGGAAAACGGCAUUAGUGAGGUGGGAUGUUAUUUGUUAGAUUAGAUCGUAUGGAGGUUUUGGGAUACGACAUCUUAGUGGUCAGAACUUCGCUUUUAUGAUGAGGCUUGGUUUUAAUAUUGUUACCAAAACUGAUGCUUUAUGGGUUCGGGUCCUUAGAGUGAAGUAUGGGAAAAAUGACAGAUUGCCAGAAUGUAUUGCAUAGAGUAGAAACUCUUUUAUGUUGAAAUCCAUUUCUAAGGCAUGGCCUUUACUGUGUGAUAAUUUGAUAUGGUUAAUGAAUAAUGUAAAUAACGUUCAUUGUUGGAAGGAUGCUUAGGUCUCUAAUAUAAUACCAUUAAGAAAACAUGUUCCUGCUUAUGCGAAUGUUGUUUCAUACUGUAAGCUGAGUGAGAUGGUUACGAAAAAUGCCACAUGAAACCUCAAUUUAUUUCGAGUUUGGUUGAUAGAAAAUGUUAUCCAACACAUCGUUAGCAUUCCCCCACCAAUGUCUUUUGUAGGACCAAAUUUGAUUUUUUUUUGUCGUUCUACAACAAUUGCCUUCUUUGUUAAAAGUAAAUAUUGGAUGUUGAAAAAAUGGUCUUGGAAUCCUAGAGAUGUAGUUUGGAAUAUAGUGUGGAAAUUUUCUAGGACUCAGAGAGUUAGACAUUUUAUUUGGAUAGUUCUAAAACAGAGACUCUUAACCAAUGUUGAGAGAAUUCAAAGGAGGAUUGGUCAGGAUGAGUUAUGCCUUCUUUGUGGACAUAGAUAUGUGGAUGCAUUACAUGUACCUAGGGAUUGCUCUGUUGCGAAAGAUGUUUGGUGCCAAGCUUUUCCACUAAGUCAACAUGGGGUUUUCUUUUCUAGCAAUUUAACAGAAUGGUUGAUUUCAAAUUUGCACGAUCACUCAAAUCACAACACGAGGGAUCAAAGUUGGGUUUGUCUAUUCGAGUUAUUAAUGUGGCAUAUUUGGAAAAAUAGAAAUUAUUUUAUCUUCCAAGGUAUAUCCAUGAAUCCAAAUGAUAUUAUUAAGGUCUCAUAUAGCUGGGCUAACCAAUAUAUUUCAGUACAUAGGGACGUGUCGAGGGUCAUCAUCCAAUUUGAUAAUUUUGAUGUUGUUAAAGCUAUUUGCUACCGUCAAUUAGCUGGGGCAAGUAUAUCACUUGUUAAGAGAAUCCAACAUAUUUUAUCCCAUGAAGACAAGAGGUUCGUGCAACAUACCCUUAAGAAAAAUAAUCAGGUAAGGAAUUCAUUAACUAAAAUGACUUUUGCGAAUGAUGAAGAUUUGUGUUUAUUUGAUGUCCUUCUUAUAGAGAUUCAAGUAAUUUUAAAAGAGGAUAGAGUGAGAGGUAAUUUGGCUCCAGUUAUUAAACUAUUUCAGUUUGUUUUUUCACAAAAAAAAUACAUCUAUUAGCCCUCUUAUAUUAACUAAUAAUUAAAAAAAUAUUUUAAAGUUUAUUCUAAUUAAAUUUGGGUGACUUGAUUCACAUACACCAAAUUCAAUUAGAGCUAUAGAUUAAUAAAAAUCUCAUAUGGUCACGUAACCAAUUUGUUAAGUUUUUAAAUGUACACAAAUUAAAAUGUCCUUUUCAAUAAUAAAAGGAUUAAAAUGAACAUUUGGUAUACUAUAAGGACUGGUAUUGUAUUUUAACCUCAUUUUUUGAGUGAACGAUGAUAUUAUAAAAAAAAUGAAAUUAUAACAAAUUAAAAAAUACCAGAACUAUACUUUAACCCAAAAAAACAAUAUCUUCAAUAUAUAUAUACACACAAUUUUUCUUUUAAGAAAUAUGUCAUAUUCUCAAGAGAAAAUACUUAUGUUAAAACUUUAAAGAUGAUAUUGUUGAAAAAAAAUCACAAAUACGAAUAUAAAUCAUAAAAUAAUCAUGAAAAAUAUCAAAAAAUAAGAGUAAAUCUGGAAAAUUUAGAUUUUAAAAUAUUGAGAUUAUUUUUAUUCAAGUUGAAGUUAUAACUUCUUUUGAAUUUAAAUUAUUUGUAGUUAAGGUAAUUUUUUAUUAAAUUCAUUUGGGUAGGUUAGUUCUUUUUUUUUUUGAAAUGCUCGACUGGAUUUUAAACAAAUAAAACAAAGUUUGCCUCUCACUUGGACAUUGGACCAAGGACCAGGCCUUAAAAUAAAGCAAAUAAUAUAAGAUAAACAGGCCUAGAAGACUAAAAUCCCUAAUUGGCCCCCAACAAGAUGGCCUAACUAAACCAAACUUAAAAAAUCAAAACUAAUAAAAAUCUACUCUAGAAAAUUCCAGCCCAAAGAAGACAGCUGUAUCCCAAAAAAUAUUUUGGCUUUCCAAUGCUCCUGCACAGCUCAUAAUAGCAGAUUCCUUCAAAUCCCAUAAGAUCUUUAACCUUCUGUUACACAUUUCCAUUUGACUGUUUCAUUUCAUCAGUCUGGAGUCCGUGGUCUUCUCCUCUCCAGUAUUCGCCGAACAUGCUCAGGAACUCCUCCUUCCAGGUAAUGGCCUUCAUUUACUUUCAACGCUUCCUUUACAAUCACAUGAGCAAAAAAAGUUUUCUGACUUUGGAAUAUGAUGGAAGUUUAGUUUUUGGUAGAAAUGCUUUAUCUCUUGAAUAUUUCUUAUUAUAGCUCCAAUAAUUGAAUUAUCUCUGUCUAUGUUCUGGCAUUUUUUUAUAACAGUUCUUGAAUCUUCAUUUAUGUCGCAUUCAUGAAAACCCAAUAAAAUUCCUAACCUUACUGCUUUUUCUCCUGCAUGUGCUUCCGCCGCAAACGGAGAGGCAACAUUUUCAUGAAUGACCGAUUUUGAGACCAAAAUAUCCCCUUGCAUGUUUCUAACUAGCAACCCUGAUGCGGAUUUGAAGAGUUGUUGAUCGAAAGCCCCAUCAAAAGAAAUGACUACCCUCGUUCGCCGAUCUUCAUGAGUAAAAACCCUUCCUUUAUCAGAGAUAAAUAGUUUCUCUUCUAAGCUUUGCAACUUUGAAAUAUAAUUGCUUAUUUGUCGUGAGAUCUCUCUGCUUGUUCUAUCUUUACUCUCAUAAAGCAAUUGAUUCCUGUUUGACCAGAUAAGCCAAAGCCCGUAGCAAAAUAGUCUGCACAGGUAAACCACUCCCAAAUGCUCUGAAUAUUAUUAUUAAGCACCAAGAGAAAUCUAAGUACUCCCAAACUUCCGUCGUUAUAAGACACAUUCUGAAAACAUAAUUGCUAUCCUCCUCAGACUGCCGACAUUUGGGACAUCAGACUUUAUUUGUAACUCGCCUCAAUUUAAGAUUAGCAAGCGUAGGGAUAUAAUUCCAGGAAAUUUUCCAGAUUGUAAUUUUAAUUUUCAAAGGGAUGUGUAAAUCCCAUAGUUUUCUGUAGAAAGUUGCAUUUUCGGCCUGUAUAAUAUUAUUACCAGGAAUCCGAGUAAUCUUUUGUAAUAGUUUAUAGGCAUUUCUAACCAAAAAGAUGCCUGAUGGUUCUCUACCCCAAACUUGGAAAUCAUCAUGUACAGACCUUGCCAAAGGGAUCAGCAGAAUGUUCUUUGCAAUACCCGCAUCAAAGGUAUUAAAAAUUAGAUCCGCUUUCCAUGUUCUACUUUCGUCCUCAAUCAAAUCAGAGACUAAUUCAAUAUCUGCAUUUCCUCUUUGAUGCUGUAACGUAUUCUCUUCAUAACCCGGUAUCCAAAGAUCGUCCUAGAUAGAGAUACUAUCCCCCUUACUGGUUCUCCAGCAUAAGCCUUUUUCCAGCACUUUUCUAGUUGACCAGAUACUUCUCCAAGUAAGUGAAGUUAGGUUCCCUAACCGUGCAUUUAAAAAUCUGUCGACAAAUAAUACUUGGCUUUUAAAACUCGAGCUAACAACGAAUCUGGAUAAGUAAUUAAAGGCCAACCCUGCUUAGCUAGUAACGCGAUAUUAAAUUUGUCAAACUCUCGGAAUCCAAUACCUCAUUCCUCCUUGAAAGAACAUAAAUCCCUUAAUGCACACCAAUGAAUGUCUUUCUUAUCCCUGCUUUUUUGCCACCAGAACUUUGCUAUUAAUCUCUCCAAUUCCGUACAAAAGGAUUUAGGAAGUAGAAAGCACGACAUAGAAUAAGUUGGAAUGGAUUGAAGAACCGCCUUAAUAAAAACCUCCUUUCCUCCUUGAGAAAGAUGUUUAACACUCUAAUUAUCUAUUCUUUGUUGCAAUCUAUCUUUCAAGUUUUGGAAAGACGCUUUCUUCCUCCUCCCCACUAAAUUAGGUAAACCCAAGUACCGUUUAGGAUCAGUUGAGCAAUGUACUCCAAGCACUCUAGUUACUAAACUUAUAUCCCUUUUUUGAGUAUUGGCACUAAAGAAAAUAGUAGAUUUUGAAUAAUUAACCUUCUGCCCCGAACAACCUUUAUAUUCGUGCAAAAUCUGCUUUAAUGAAAUCGCCCCUCUUUCUGUAGCCUCGCCGAACAGAAUGCAAUCAUCCGCAAAUAAUAAAUGUGAAACCUGUGGACCGCUUCUGCUUGCCUUAACUCCGCGAAGAAUUUUCUUUUUCAUUGUUGGUCUCAUAAGACUAGAUAGACCCUCCCCACAAAAUAGAAAUAAAAAUGGACUCAAGGGAUCUCCUUGUCUAAGGCCCCUAGAAGGAUUGAAAGUAGAACCACUAAAUCCAUUAAACACUAUCGAGUAAGAAACUGUAGUAACACAUCUCAUUAGUGAAUCAACCUAAUCGGGGUCAAAUCCCAUUUUCUUCAUUACCCUUUCUACAAAACUCCAUUCGAUGCUGUCAUACGCCUUACUCAUGUCCAAUUUUACUGCUAUAAAGUCUUUUUUCCCGACUCUUUUGUGCUUCUUUUGUGCUUCAGAGUAUGUAGAAGUUCAUAAGCUAGAAUCACAUUAUCAAAAAUCAAUCUCCCUGGCAUGAAAGCACUUUGUGCUGAAUCAAUACACUUGUCUAUCACAGAUUGGAGACAAUUAGCAAUAACUUUAGCUAUCAAUUUGUAUAAUACAUUACACAAACUAAUAGGACGAAAGUACGUAAUAUUAGAGGGAUUCACAAUUUUUGGGAUUAGCAUAAUAUUUGUCUUGUUAAUUGAGCUUGGAUCCGUACCUUCAUUUAACAAAUUGAGCCAAUAAGACAUGACAUCUUUUCCAAUAAUUAACUAGCAUUUCUGGUAGAAUAGUGCUGGAAAACCAUCCUUACCUAGUGCUUUUGUUGGUCCCAUUUCUUUCAACGCUACAUAAAUCUCUUCCUUUGUAUAUUCAGCCUUGAGUUUUAAAUUGUCCUCCUAAAAAAUGCAACGAUCAAUACUUGAAAAAGUGUGAUUAUAAUUUCGUCUCCUUCCAGCUAGAAACAACUGCUGAAAAUACGAUCUGGCUAUCUUUUCCAUUUCUUCAAUAACUUCAGUUUCCCUGCCGUCGUUAUAUUGUAACUUGCGGAUAUAGUUCUUUCUCCACCUUUGCGUUGCCUGCCGUCGUUAUAUUGUAACAGUACCCAAACCUCUUUUCCGGUAAGAUUUUCGGGGACGAAAAUCCCUAAGGGGGGAGAGUUGUAACAGCCCGAUUCUGGGCCUAGUCGGAAUAGUGGUUUCGGGACCACAAAUCCGACGAGGGAAAAUAUGGUUAUUAUUAUAUUUUUAUGAUCUACAAUUUCACGGAAAAUUUUCGUAAAAAUUUCGUUCGAAAAUUUCGACGUUUGGGCACUCAAUUUAGUCAAAAGGACUAAAUUGUAAAUAGUGCAAAAGUUGAGUUCUAUAUGUAAAAGUAUCUAAUUGAUAUGAAAUUUUAAAUUGGAGGUCUUUAUGUGGUAAUUAGACCAUUAGUUAGUUGAUGGACAAAAAUAGACAUAAGAAAUGAGAGAAAUAGAUUUUUUUUAAGUGGGGGCAUAUUAGUCAUUUGGUAAUAAAAAAAAUAAAAUGGGAAAAAGAUGACAAAAAUCAUCAUCUUCCUCAUUAGUUGCUGCCGAAAUUUGAAGGAAGCCAUAGCUAAGGUUUCUUUGCUUUCUCAAGCUCAUAGUAAGUGCAUCCUAGCCCCGUUUUUAAUGUUCUUCGCAUUUUUGGAAUCCUCGUAACUCGGUUUAGCUUAUUCUAGCAAUAAUUCGUGUUAGGGCUCAUAUUUGGAAAAAUACCCAUAGGUGAAAUGUGUUUAUUUUGCUGUUUUAUGGUGGAAUAUGAAGCUAUAAAUUAUGUUAAACAACUUUUGCUAAGCGAUUUUAAGCGAAAACGGGUAAAUAGGCAUAAUCGGUAAAAAUAAUUAUUGUUCAUAAGUGUAUGUUAGAGUGAGAAUUUGAUGUUGCCAUAGAAGGGGAAAAUGUUCAGCAUGUCAUAAAACCUAAGAAUAAGUGAUGAAGUUUAAUUUCCGAGCUUGGGGACAAAAGUGUAAUUAUGCAAAAGUUUGGGGGCAAAAUUGUAAUUUUUCAAAAAGUUGGGUGGUGGAUUAUUUUAAUGAAUGUGAACAUUAAAUGAGUUAAAUUUGCUAUUAUAGAUCAAGAAAGACGUGAAGAUUAUCUCAAACGAGGAAAAGAAAAGAUAGUGGAGUGAAGUGCAAUAUUACGAUAUUUUGCACCGAGGUAAGUAAACACGUGACUUGAUGUAUUAUUUUGACAUUAAUUGAUAUAUGUUGAGAUUUAUUUGGAAUUAAAAUAAAUGUUUGGCCAUAUCCUAAAAAUGUUGUUAAAUCGGGAAAGGUGGUAAAGGGUUGCAAUAUAUGAUUUAUGGGUUGAACACUCGGAAUAAGCCGAAGUAUGUUGUACAUAAAGGGGUUGCUGUGUGCUGAUUCCCCGAUUCAUUGGUGGUGCUAUGUGCGAUAUCCACCGUAUCUUUGAAAUGUGAAAGGGGGUUGCUAUGUGCUGAUUCCCCCGAGGGGUUGCUAAGUGCUGAUUCCCCAGUUCAUUGGUAGUGCUAAGUGCGAUAUCCACCGUAUCUCUGAAAUAAAGAGGGGGUUGCUAUGUGCUGAUUCCCCCAAGGGGUUGCUAAGUGCUGAUUCUCCGAUUAAGUGGUGGUACCCUCGCCCAUUGUUCCCAAUACCUCUCAUCCUUUUCAAUCUCAAAAUUAACAUCCACCUUUGUAUCAAUUAGUUCUGCUAGAUUUUCAUCGCUUUUAUCUUCUUCUAGCAAUUUUUUCAGCUUUAAAUGCAACAUCUCUUUCUUUGCUUUCCUACUAUAUCGAAUUUUAGCCGCCCAUUUCUGCAACCCUCUUCUAACACACUGCAACUUGUUUAAUAGGUCUCCUGAAGAAUUUUCCCAAAUACUCUUCACUUCACCAAUAAAUGAUUCCUCCAGCACCCACCAUGCUUCAAAUUAAAACCUUCUCUCCAUGUGCCUCGAAUAUUCGGAUUUAGUAUUUAUGAGCAAUAGACAGUGAUCGAAAAAGGAAUGUGAUAGAUGACGAACUUGAUAAUCGAGAAAUAAAACAAGCCAGCUGUCAGUAGCUACCCUUCUAUCUAGCUGUUCUUGAAUAUUAGUCUCUGGAAAUUACCUCUCUCCCAUGUGAACCAAUUCCCAGAAAAGCCCAUAUCAAUUAAAUUGCAAUCCUCCAACACCCUUCUAAAAGCUUCCAUUCUUCCUUCCUCCCGUGAUAAGCUUUCCUUGUCUCACAUCUGUACAUGAUCUCGUUAAAAUCCCCACUUACCAGCCAUGGAAGUUCCCCAGCUUCACACAAUUGUCUUAAAAGAUCCCAUGUUGCAUCUCUAUCUUGGUGAUAAAGAGAUCCAUAAAAUCCGGUAAAUCUCCAUUUAGUACCUUUCUCCAUAUCAUCUAUUAUCACAUCAAUAUGGCUAGUCGAAAAGCUUUGAAGUAAAACACUGAUAUCCCCUUUCCAUGCUAAAUACAAUCCUCCACUUGAACCAAUUGAUCCAACCUCAAUCCCAUUGAAAAAAUCGCAACUUCUUUGAACCUUUUCCAUGUGACUCCUGUCAAUUUUUGUCUCCAUAAAGAAGACCAUUUGGGGAUUAUGUAACUUCAACGUGUGUCGAAGUCUUCAAACUGCCUGCUGGCUCUCCAAACCGCGGACAUUCCAAUUUAAUAUUUUCAUUGUGCCCUGUCGGUUUGCCUCUUGGCAGUCGCCAAUAAUAAAUGUGUGGAAUCCUUUAUAACCUUAGUUCUCACAUCCAUACAGUUUCCUUCUUCUCUUACUGUUAAUCCUUCACUAUCCCCUCUUUUUCGUUUUUUACCUUCAUCCCCCAUUAGUACCCUAUCCUCAAAAUCAUGAUCCAUUGCAUUAAAGCUAUCCACCAUCCCUAAAUUUUCACCUUGAGGAUGGGAUUUAUACAGUCUCCCCUCUAAAUUUAUUCCCAAAAUGGGAUCUAUAUUGCUCCUAAUUCCCAUUUUCUUCUUGGGAAUUCUCAGCAUACCCCCUAUCAUUUGACUUCCCUCCUGAUUUCCGCCGAUACUUCCUCCUCAUCAUCAUGUAACCAAACACUUUUCAUAGCCAAAGCCCUUCGAGAUUGAGCCCGCAGCGUUAAAUCCCAUCCCAUUUCUGCAACUUCCACCCCUAAUGCCAUUUUUGCUUCACAAAAUAAAUCGCUAUGCCCUAAACGACCGUAAUAAAAACAAAACAGUGAUAAACGUUCAUAUUUAAAUCGAACAUAUGAACACUGGCCAUUAAACAUAAGCUGUUUCUUUCUUCUCAAAAGCUGACGUAUAUCCACUUGAAUUCGUAUCCUCAUAAAAUUACAAUUCUCUUUCCCUAACAUAGAAUUGUCAUACUCUAUAAAAAACCCUAUAAAAUUCCCAAGUUGCACCGCCAAAUGUUCAGCGAAAAAACCAAAAGGAAUAUCAUGGAUCUGAACCCAAAAGGGUGAAAAAAUUAAAGGGACAUUCAAUGGGUCUUCCUCGCUUUGCAGCUUAUGUAACAGCAGUAAAUGUCUGUUAAAGGUCCAUGACAAACCCUUUAAGACCCUUUCCAUGUCCAUAAUAUGAAAAAAUUGAAACAAUUACCUUUUUUCCCCCAGAUCUCGAAUUUAAACACCACAGACAGGAUACCACAAAUUUGCCAUGGUAUUUUUCAUUCCUGGAAAAUGGAUGACACUAGCUGUUAAAAAGCAACCCACCAAUUGGAAAAAUCCCCUCACCCUAUAUGUGUUUGUUUCUGCUUGAAUUUGCAAAACCUCAUCUUUCUCCUCAUUAAUCGAAAGUUCAGCAAAAUUAGAUUCCAUAAUCAAGACUCACGUUCAGUAGCUAUUGUAUUUUCCAAAGAAAAAUAGAUAGCAGCAGGGCAACUGCUAGAGAUAGCAGACAGAGACGUGCUAGAGAUAGCAGACCUAAAUAAAGAGAUUAGGUUAGUUCAUUAAAUAAGGUAGAAUUAUUAUCUUUUUAUGUUGAAAUAAAAUUAUAUCUAAUUUAAAUAUAUAUUAAUUAAAUAGUCCAACAUAAGUAAAAUUCUUAGUUAAAUUUAUUUGUGAAAUAUUUUGAAAUAAACAAAAUACUUACUCGAUAGCUAUGUUUACUUGAAUUUAACAUAAAAGUUUUAACAAUUUUUACAAUUAAAUUUAUAUUUUUAAACUCGAAAAGUGAAAAAUAGAUAAUUAAAAUCCUAACAAUAGAAGUAAAGAGACCAAAUUUUAAAUAUAUGAAGAUUACAGGUACUUAUAAAGAUUUUAAACUUUUUUUUUAAUUAACUCAUUUUCUUUCUCUCUAUUGACACCAAACCACACUAUAACUACAGGGAAUUAGGAAAAGCAAAAAUUCUGUAUUUAGCUCCUUGAAAAUUCGCUACGUUUUCUCCCAUAUUAUAUGCUCUGCUCUGCUCGCCAGUUCCCAGUCUCUCCAUGAAAGAACCUUCCCUCUCCCUUUAUCCUCUCUAAACUUCAUUCCAAUCCAACCCCUUUUUUCUCUCUUGUUUUUUCAUUACUAAAUCGACUAAGGAACCUUUUUUUUUGGGUUCUUUUUGAAAAGCAAAACUCCCGAGCAUUAAUGGAGAAAAAGCAAGGUUUUUUCUCAGCUCUCAAAGAGGAAGUAAUUCGUGGGCUUUCACCUUCCCGCUCGAGGACCAACAGCCCCGGAAGAGCCCGGUCACCUAUUGCCAUUCUGUUGCGGAGAAAGAAAAGCGGCCACUACAACUACGGAGGCGCUUACCUGGUACAACCGGAGCCCUUGAUCGCGAGGUACGGUGUCGGGGAAGCGUUAGCUCCGCUCAUGGAAGGUCCCGACCCGGACGGAGGCGAAACCGGGGAUUCCAAGAGGCUUGGGUUGGGGCUAGGACAAUGGGUUAUGGGACAGUUAUCGAGGACUCCAUCCAUGGCUUCCUUGAGUUGCAAAAGGUCCGAUCUAAGGCUGUUGCUCGGGGUCAUGGGCGCACCUUUGGCUCCUGUUCAAGUUUGCUCCACUGACCCUUUGCCUCACUUGAGCAUCAAAGACACUCCCAUUGUUAGUACCCUUCCGCCCCCCCCCCCCCCCCCGGUCUUCUUUAGCUUAUAAUAGACUUAAAAAAGAACAAAUGAACUUCUGGGUGUUUUUUUUCUGCUUAUGAUGGUUUGAAUGGCGACUAAAGUAUUUAUCAUUUAUAGUAUUUUAUUUGUAAUGUUCUUGUAUUUUUCUUUAAGCUUCUUCUAUGGUCUAUGGAUCCAUUUUAUUAAAUCAUGGUUUUCAAACUGUGGUUAGCAAGAAACUUGAGUAAAAACUCCAUUUCUUUGCGGUAUGGUGCAGGAAACGUCCACUGCUCAGUACAUAUUGCAGCAGUAUACAGCUGCUUCCGGUGGUCUGAAGCUGCAAAACUCAGUCCGGAAUGCGUAUGCGAUGGGAAAACUGAAAAUGGUAGCUUGUGAGUACGAAACUGCUGCGAAGACGGUUAAGAACCGAUAUGGCUCCAGAGGUGCGGAGUCCGGUGGGUUUGUGCUCUGGCAAAUGAAUCCGGACAUGUGGUAUGUUGAACUUGCGGUUGGGGGCAGCAAGGUUCAUGCUGGCUGUAAUGGGAAGCUUGUAUGGAGGCACACACCUUGGCUUGGAGCUCGCACUGCAAAGGGGCCUGUUAGACCCUUGCGUCGUGCACUUCAGGUGAGGUCUCCUAUGCUUAUCAGCAGCUGAAUAUUGGCUCUUCGGUUAUAUUUCUAGCAUUACUGGCUUUCUGAUUCUCUCUUUGUGCUUCACUAUUCCUAAAUCAGGGUCUUGAUCCGAGAACUACAGCUAGUAUGUUUUCUGAUGCAAAAUGUAUAGGAGAGAAGACAAUUAAUGGUGAGGAUUGCUUCAUCCUCAAGCUCUGUACCGACCCCCAGACAUUGAAGGCAAGGAGUGAAGGCCCUGCGGAGAUCAUUAGGCAUGUCUUAUUUGGCUACUUUAGUCAGAAGACCGGGCUUCUGGUUCACAUGGAGGAUUCACAUUUGACUCGUAUUCAAUCCAACGGUGGCGAUACUGUUUACUGGGAAACCACAAUCAAUUCAUAUCUUCAUGAUUACCGACCUGUCGAAGGUAUCAUGAUAGCACAUUCUGGCCGUUCUGUCAUUACACUUUUCAGGUUCGGGGAAGCUGCAAUGAGCCAUACGAAAACAAGGAUGGAAGAAGCUUGGACGAUCGAGGAGGUUGCCUUUAACAUACCAGGCCUUUCUGUUGAUUGUUUUAUCCCUCCAGGUGAUUUGAAAUCUGGAUCCAUCAGUGAAACCUAUGAACUACCUCAGGACGAAACAGGGACGAGUGCGAUCGCCUUAUCAGCAUAUCAUGCCAAAGUUGCUGCACUCGAGAGGGCACAGGAUAAUUGGCUGACAGUAUGAUUUGCAGGAUACAAGUCUGAAGAAGUGUAGAAUUCACAACUUAGCAAGUGCUCAAAUUGGUAGCUAGUUCAGUUGACUAAUCCAUUAGAAGUUAAAAAAAAGAAGAAGGUAGAAGUCAAUUUUUGGACUUCAGUGUUACGCCUCUAUUAAUCUGUAAAUAGAGCAUAAUGAUUCAUAUCGGGACCUCUAUGAAUCUUUAUACUCUCAAUGCAGAAUCCAACUAUGGAGAGUUGGAGCUCGGUUUUUCCAAUUAGGGAUAGAGCUAAUGGAGGUUGGUUUUUAGUUUACCUGGCUUUGAUGGUAAGUAGCAAAGCUGCCCCAUCGACCCUUUUAUUUUUUCUAUAGUUAUACUAACUAUAUAUAGUAUGGCAGCAUAAAGGAUGCUGCCAGUUUAACAGUAAUGUCUAGGUUUUUUUAUUUUUUUUGAUGUUACAAAUUCUGGAUUUGUGAUUCAAAGUGUGAUGAUUUGGGUUGAAAGUUGUUUUGGGGGGGUUUGAGAGAAGGGAAAGAGAUUUUGCCAUUUUUGUGGAAAUGGUGAUAAAUAGGCAUAAUGGUAAAUGAGAUGGAACUAACUAUAUUUCUUACCUUCUGAAAGUUAUUCAAUGCUUUUGAUGAAUAUACAGUGAUCCCCAUAUUUCCUUCAUUCUUUUCUGAGUUUUAAUACGUGACUUGUGAAUGCCCAGAUUAUCUUUGUACUACAAGUGACGACACUCGAACCCUAAUGCUGUUGUUAGGGUGUUAAUAAGAACUUUGGUUGAACCACCAUAUCUUUAAGAAUAUACUUAAUCUUCCUACACCAAGUAGGCAGCAAUAUCUAAGGUUAUCUUUGACCCAUCACUGCCAUUGGAACCCUUUAAGGCUUGAGUGUGUCCCCUUGGUGGGGUGUCCAAAGCUGUUUUUAGUCAGACAAGCCAACAUAUUUUUGAAGCAAUGCAAAGCCCCACCUUUGACCACAGGUGUAAUGUGGGGUUAGGUUGGUUCAGUGGUGUGAAGUUGUGGUAGCAUCGUUCAAAGCUAAAAAAGCUAAGCACGAGAUGAAAGUUCCUCAAAACCCCCAUGUGAUUCUUCAUUCUUUUGCUUUUGCUUUGAUUCCUUUGCUUAACUGUUUUAACAGAUCUUUUUACCUGCUUUUGCCAACUUAUUUAUUUAUUUAUUUCGGUCUUUCUUCAUCUUUACUCUCUAAGAUAUAUAUAGGUGCUGAGGGUAGGGAAAGUUCCAACUCAUCCCAUGUUUUCUGAAAAGUCAAUCUAUCUUUCUUUUACUCCAUUUUCUUUUUCAGGAGCCACAGAGGACUUCUCUCUAUAUGUAAAAUCAAGUCAUAAAAUUUGGGCAUAUUUUAAUAAAUGCAUUAUAAUAUAUUUUUACUAAAAUGUUUUUCUUUUAAUUUUACAGGUAUUAUAUCUAUUUUGAUUAAAUUUUAUCAUUAUAGAUGGCUUGAGGAGUUUUUUUUUUUUUUUUUACUUUACCGAUGGUGUACAAGACAAUAAUUCAAAAUAAUAAAUAUAAAAUAAGAAAAAAAUACUAUAUAUGUAUUUGUAUUAAGAGUUGAAUUUUAUUUUAUCCUCUCUACUCAAAAAAUGGGUUAAUUAGUCAUGUAUGUUAGAUCAAAGAGCAAAUUGAUCUUUUUGUAAAAUAUUCUAUCCAUUCUUGCUACUAAUAAUUGGUCCAUAGACUAAUUUACUCUUUCAUCUAAUGUACAAGAAUUAAUUUAUCCGUUUUUUAAGUAAAGGUAGCAAAAUACAAUGUGACUUCUAAUAUAAGAGUUUUCAUGGUACUUCUAUUAUAUAAAACAUUAUAAUAUUAUGUAAAAUAUAAAGUUGAGUUGGGAUGUUUUUUUUUUUCAAGAAGUUGGAGGGCAGGUGGAUUGAAGAAAUCAUUUUGGGGUCGGAAUUGGAUGCUAUUAAUUUUGAGUUUAACUUGUUUAAUUUGGUUGACAUCCAUAUUUUUAUCAGUACGAGAAGACGUAGAUUUGAGUGCGUUGUAGUCCAUUAACCUUUUCCCUUAAAAACUUAGCUGUAAAGUAAUUGACAAAACAAUUUACUUACAAUAAAUUUGCACUAGAAUAAUUUCUUGACUUAAACAAAAUAGGUUCUCUUAAUCUCAAGAAUUCUGUUAAAUUGGUGUUUAAUGGCUUGCAAAAGUACAACUAAGGUGUUCAAAUUUCGGUUAAAAUCGAAUGAACCGACCGAAUCGAACUAAUUCGGUUGAUCUGUCAGUUAACCAAUCUAAUUCGAUCAGAGGGUGGUUAAUGGUUUCUUGGAAGUUCGAUUAUCGGUUAAUUCUGGUUGAAAUCGGAUAAUUAACCGAAUUAACCGAACUUUUAAAAAACCAAUAUUAUAUAUUACCAUUUCGGUUAAGGGUUAAGGGUUUAAAAAUUUCGGUUAAUUCAAUUAAUGCUAGUUUGGUUUGGUUAAACGAUUGAGCACUCCUAAGUGCAAUUAAUGUAGAUCUCUCUCUUUUUUUCUCUAUUCAAAAAAUAGUCUUCAAUAAAGAAAAAAGUGGAAGAGAUAUUCUCGAUAUAAACUUCUUUAAAAAUAAAAUCUCUUUAAUUAUGGAAAUUUCGAUCACAUUGAAAGUAUUGAUAAAGUCCUUACUUUGACAUGAUUCUUAUACAAUUUGCCUUCACUAAUGCACUGCCAAAAAAGCCUUCCAAGAUGCUCAAUUAAAAACCCCAAUAGUUUUGAUCAAAAGAUGUCAACCAGUAUGAUAAGUUACAGUUGUUUGCCAAAUGCACGUUAAAUUACAACUGGAGUUGCACCUGACAUUUAUAACUAGCACUAACAAAUUAAUUGAGUGUAAAUCUUUGAUUGCCUUCACUAUGUGUAUACUCAAACAUAUAUGUUGAACAUACAUCCAAUAAUAACAAAAAUAACCAACAAGCUAUUGGUUUAGUAAUAACUUGUACGUGGGUUCAUGUGUUGACAUGCAUCUAGGGUUUAAUCCCUAUGAAAUCCCUUUCGGCUAAAAAAAGGGAAAAAAAAACGUAUACUUUAACAAUUUUUAAGGUAUCUACUAAUUAUUUCAUUUAAUUUUUUAAUACCCUUCAUUUGUGUAGAAGGUUCUUUAGUGGAGAGAGGAGGUGUUGCAAGCAAGUAAAUAGAAUGCAUCAGGAGUAGCUAGAGAGGAAGACUGGAGCAAAUCUUAUAAAUUGAGCGUAGUAAUAGGUGGGGGCUUAUAAUGUGGAAAAAGGUUGCACGUGGCUUAGAAUAAGACUAAGUAUGAGAAUAGUUUAAAAGAGUUUUAGAGAUAGUUUUGGGAGUUAGAAUACUAAAAUUGUUAAAAAGUCCUUUCACAAGUUGCAAAAGGCUUCUAUUUAUAAUGUCUAAAAAUAAGAGUAUUAAAUAGGGGUAAUGACAAAUAUUGUAAGUUAUAAAGGCAUUAAUAUCCUUUUAAUAAUAAAUAGUUUAGGCUUAAUGGUGAAGGGUAAAUAAGGAAUAAGAAUUCACUAUGUUUCUGAAAGAAAAGAGAGAAUCACAUAAUGUUAUAUGAAAAAGUUAAGAAGAAACCUUUUAACUACAUCCUUAUUUGAUCCACCAAAUCGAUCUUCGGAACAUCCUAAGAAUCUUGCCUUAUUUUGAGGUUAUUUCCACUUCUUCCGUUUUUGUGAAGUAAUACCUUGUGAAACAUUUUAUCUAGAACAUCACUUGAAAUGCAAGCUAUUCUUAAUGAAGAAUUCUUCUUGAAUGAGAGUUGUUCCUGAAUAAGGGUUAUUUUUACUUAUUCCAAAAGUGAAUUGUUCUCAACAUAGCCAUCCUUAGUAGUGGUUGUUUCAAGCAAGAAUCGUUUUGCAAUGAUGCUUUUCUUUAAAGAGAUUAUUUUGAAUAAUGACUCAUCUUUAAAAAAAAAAAAGAAAAAGAAACUCACAAUUGUUCUAAAUAGAAAUUGUUUUGAAUUAUGGAUAUUCUAAACAAAAAUUGUUUUGAACAUUAGUUGUUCCCAAAUGACAACUAUACUCACAGCUAUUUAAACUAGAGCUUUAUUCUGAACAUAGUUAUUUUGAACUAGCUAUUCUUAACGACGAUUAUUUUGAACAACAAUUAUUUUAAACAAAAAAUGUUCUUUCGGAAAAAGAAUUAAGUGAAACAAUAUUUUUACUUAUUCAUAGUUAACCUUUUUAUCAUCUUUGGGAGUGCAAUUCACCUUAUUACUCUGAAAAGAGAUAAAAGAUUAGUAGUAAAACUAGUAUCUACAUUUUUUUUGUCGUAAUCAAGGUAUCUAUCGCUAAUGGCAAUGACUAAUCCUCUUGCCAUGGGUGAAAACGAUUAGUCAUAAAAUGUUUUAUUCCCUUGAGCAGAGAUCGAACCCUCAACCGUAUAAUAAAGGAUGAGAUGAGCAAUCACCACACUAUUCCUCAUAAUUAAAACUAGUAUCUACAUUUUAUCUAUCUUAUGGUUUCUUUUUGUGUUUUUUUUUCCAUCUUCAUAAGUUGCAGCAGGAUAUUUAGGGAGUGUUGUUAAACUGGUGGACAUUGUUGAGCACUUCAAAAAUACAUGUGGAUAAUACACAAUAUAAUAUGCAAUAAAAGUUAGCAAUGUCAAUUCAUAUUAGAGUGUCGGCAAAGGAAAUUUGUACGUGAAAGUGGUAAAAACAUAGAUAUUUAUGAGAGUGAAGGGGUAAAAAAAACCAUAUUAAUGGCAGUGCAUGGUGGAGCAAUGGAGCAAGAGGGUAUCUCAGUUGACUUCAACGUACGUUGCUUUCAAUGGGGGGAAAGGGGAAACUUAAUUUAUUUUUAUUUUUGCUAAAAAUUUAUUGAAGAUGGUUAAGAAAAGGACAAUACGAGGGACUUGUACAACAUUGAUAAAAUCUAAUUGUUGCAACAUUCAUAAAAAUUUGUUUUGGGUAAGUGGUGGGAGAGUCUAUCACCUAUCCAUAAGUCGGGUUAUUGGUUUGAAGGUUACUCGAAAUACAAAGGGUUUAGAUAAAAAGACGAUACUCACAAAAUGAGUUUCGGCAAAAAGUAGGCUGAUUAAAAAUAAAGACUAGACCUAAACUUUAAUAUUUAAGGCUCGAACUUAGCUCGACCCACCCAUUCUAUACUUUUGUAUUAUAUUUUUAUUUUAUGUAUAUAUUAUGUAAAUUAUAUCACAUGAAAUUAAAUAUAUAUCUAUGAUAAUACAAUACUAGGUAACAUUAUAACAAAGAUGUCUAAAUUUAAAUUUUUAAUAAAAAAACCAUAUAAAAUAUAAAAUAUUAAAUUAAAAAUAAUAUAUUUUUUAAAAAAAUAAUAUGAACGUGCCUAAAACAGAUUUGGAUUAACCAUUUAUAAAUCUAGGAAAAUUUAAACUAAAUUUUAGACACAUAUUUAGAGUCAGGUCGAACCAAGCUUAGACAAAUAUAAAAUGUGUUAAUAUUAUACAAUACUUGACUCACCCAUAAACACCUCUAACCUUUACUAAUUGAAAUUUGGGAAACUAUUGAGUUGCAUUUUAUAUAUUUCACAAGUAUGCAGGCUAGGUUUUGGGUUGGUGGCAUCCAUGGUUGAAGGUUUGGAAAUUUUAAAAUAUCAAGUUUGAGUCUUAAUUUAUAUAAAUCAUAUUUAGAUUUUUAGUUUAGAUUUGUUUUGAAUCUGAUAUAAACGCAUAUAUUUAACUAAUUUUUGUUUCGAAUAUAUUUUUGUUAUCAGUUCAUUUAUACAUUGUAAUGAUUGAUUUUGAUCGUAAUGAUAUAAACGUAUAUAUUGUAAAUAUAAGUAUAACUUUUAAGAUUAUAUAUAUUUAACUAAUUUUCUUCUAUGUAAAAUGCACAAAUUAAUUAUAUGUAUUAUUUUUAUUGCAUUACAUUAUUUAUUUACAAAGUUUUGAUAUUUCUUAGUAUUAAGUAUUUUUUUAAUUAAUGUCUACCACAUUGCAUAUUGAGAAGUUAUCAUAUGUCAAUAUAAACUAACGAUGUUAAUACGAAGAUACCAACUAGAAUAUAUACGCAUAUAUACAAAUAUGUAUUGUAAUGAUUAAUUCUGAUCGUAAUGAUAUAUAUGCCUAUAUUGUAAAUAUAAUUUAGACGUGAAGUAUAGAUGGAUAUUUAAGAGAGUAAAGGGAGAAAAAUCCCAUAUUAAUGGCAGUGCAUGGUGAAGCAAUGGAGCAAGAUAGUAUCUCAGUUGACUUGAACAUGCAUUGCUUUCAAUGAGGGAAAAGAGGGAAACUUAAUUUCUUUUUCUGCUACAAAUUUAUUGGAGAAAGAUGGUUAAUAAAAGGGACAAUAAGAGGGACUAGGACCAGAUUGAUAAAAUAUAGUUGUUGCAACAUUCAUAAUAAUUUCUUUUUGGGGAGACACCGUGGUUGAUUGAAAUAUGGGAAAUUAUUUUGUAAUAGUGUUGAAGUUUUUUAAAUUUCACAUGUAUGUCAAUGAGGUUUUAGCUAGAUGGCAUGGUCGAGGUUUUGAUAAUUUAAAAUUCUCAAGUUUGAAUCUCACGUUGUAUAAAUUAUGUGUAAAAUUUCAGUUUAGAUUUGUUUUUUACAUUUGAAUAUGUAAAAUUAAAUUAUUUGUAAGCACCAACUCCCUCAUAGACAAUCAUGGGGCUUUAGAUGGGCCUAAAAGUCUCAAAGUCAGCAGGCUCCAUACGCGUCAACUUAGUGGACCCACAUCACUCAAGAACUUGGCCCAUGCAUAUGAUUCAAAAUAAUAGUAUUGUUGUUGGGUCCAAAACCAAAUAAAGCUAAAACUAUGUUGCCUAAAUUAAAUAACUCCUACAAAAUCAUAGAUCAAUAUAGAAAAGAUGUAGAAUAUGCUUCGCAUUUUGGUUAAAUUAAAACACAAAUAGAGAGUGACGUCGUGAUAAGGAGUUUUGGAUGUCGCGACGACACCAUAGGGGACAUUGCAAUUUUCUUGAUUUUCUUCUUCCAGUCAAAUUCUGAUUAUUUGUUCUAGUCGAACUCUAAUUAGUGUAGAUUAUUUUAAGAUUAUUUGACUUACGAAUUUAGCCUAUAAAUAGGCCCUUUUUUCUACCCUAGAAAGAUUAACCCAUAACACAUUUAAGUAUUAGCUUUUACAAGCUUUCUGAGAAUUUUAUAUUUAAGUUUUGAGAGUUCUUAUUUUCAGGUUUCGGGAUUUAGCUUUUAUCUCCAUCUUUAUACUCUUCGUUUUUGCCGAUUUAGUGAAUUAUCUUUGCCUGUGGUUUUUACCCUCUUCGGAGGGGUUUUUUCACGUAAAAUUUGUGUAUUCGAUCUUUUCAAUUUUUUCGUUAUUUUUCUUGUUCAUUGCUUAUACAAGUUUAUCCCCAACAGAAGAGGUCAUUGUCAUCAUUUAAAGCAGAAUCACAUCUUAACCUAACUUAAACUUGAUAAACACAAACUCAAAAAUAGAAAUUUGAUUUCAUAAAUUUGAUAUUCCAAGCUUGAUACUAAAUAAUCAAUACCUACAAAAUACUUAAAAACAAAAAAAAAAAAAGAUAAUCAAUCUCCGCUUCAUCUCACAAGACACAAAGUUUUCAAAGCAAAAUCAAAGAUUCGUUACAAGAUCUAGCCAAAACAUCAAGUAAUGAUCCGAUCAAAAUUCCAUCAAAGAAAUAUUAUUUACAAUUUCAUUAUAUUACUCAAAGAAAUGCUCUCACCACUCCCAUUCAAGGACAGCCAAAAUGUCUCUAAACAUUAACUCAAAACAAGAUCCAAAGAAGAAAGUUGAAGAAUAAAAGAGAAGUUGUGACUAACCCUCUUAAAUCGCUUUAAGCCAAUCAAUUAUUACAUUUAGCUUUAACUACCCAAGUUAUCCAACACAUUUAUUUUGAUAGGAAUAAUACUCAUAAGGACUUUAAAAUAAAGUUGUAAUCAUUAAUUUCAAUUACUUUAUUUUCAUCAUGUGGUAGACAUUAUAACCAUGCCAUUGCCAACAACAUCCACAUGGUACCAUGGUCACAUCUCCCCAUUGCCCACCCAUACAUUCAUGGUUCCAUUUUAACUACCCUUUCCAUGACAUCUAUACAACUAUAUAUUAAAGGCACUAAAGCUUUUCAAUUCUAAUUUUUUUUUUUUUUACUUUUUAGAUUAUAAGAAUGGGUAAUUUCCAAUAUGAUCCCUAUAUUUUAUUUAAAUUUAAGAUUUAAUCUAUAUACUUUAAUUUUGACAUAAUUUAAUAUCUCAAUUUUUAUAAUGCCAUUAGUUAGCCUAAAUAUUUUAUUCUAAUUAAAAUGAUUAAUAUAUGAAUUUUUAAGAAUUGUUAGCACUCUUAAAUUUUUUUAUUGAAUUUAUGUCUGUUACAAUGUUUUUUUUUGUUACAUGCAUACCAAGUUUAUUUUAUUUUUUCAAAAUGCCUAACCAACACAAAAGAAUUUUAACAGUAUUAACAAAUGGACCUAAAUUUUUAAAUUCGAAAAGCAGAGAAACUAAAUUCCUGAAAAUAAAAAUAUAAAGAUUAAAUUCUAAAUAUAUGAAUAAUAAAAAAAUUUGAACAGAUUGUAACCUUUAAAGUUUUACGCUAUAAUUUAAUUAAAAAAUAAAUAACUUAAUUGUACCCUUUGGACAAUAAUUUGAGCAUACCUUCAAAAUUGCUCAAGAUUAAAUGUUGACAUUUUGACUUGAUCUCCAUAAUUGUUUUCUUAUAAGCAAAUAAAUGGUGGUCGAAUUUGGAUGAUUGAAGGAACUAUGAGAUCAUCAUGCCCUUAUCCAUUAAGGCUUACCCUCAUCCUUAUUCUUUAAACAUUAUCUUAUGAAUUAUGCUGAUGAAUUUUCUUAUAUAAGAUUGUAUUUUGAGAUGAAUUUUGGAGGUUUUUAUCUCAAAUUAUUAUGCAUUAAAUUGGUGAUUUUAUCUCCACAAAAUCUGCUAAGAGGAGACUUUUUUACUAGUUUAUAAAUAGACUGCUACUUCCUCGUUGAGUUAUUUGGGUGUAUUUAGACACUCCUUGUUCUUUUGUACUAGCAUAUAAAUACAGUGUUGAUCAGCUUCCUCAUUUAAUACUGUAUGUAAUGUGAGUUAUUUGGAGAGAUUAAUUUGUUUGCAGCUACAAUUAUUAUUGCGAGAGGUUAGAUUGGGCUUUUGCUAAUAGUUAUAUCGGAUUAACUGUUGAAUAAAAUUAUUCUUUGAAUGAAGCUUGCAAAUAGGAUUUGUGAAUCCAUAUUGAUUCUUUAUUUACUUAUCUUUUGUCUCAUGUUUUGAAUUUGUGUUUAUUUCUCUCUUUAUUUUACUUCUUUUUUUAAUGUGUUUAAAAGGUUUUCUUCGAACUUCUAUUCAAUCAUCUAUUUGAAUAUUAAAUUAAAUGUUGAAUGAUAAAAAAACCCGAAAAAACAAUUUAAAAAAAAAAAAGAAUGAUGAGAGAAGGAAGUAGGCAGCCACCAACACAAAAUCCCAUACAAAAAGAAACAAUAGAAGUCCCUCCAAUACAAAUGAAAAAUAUAAAAGCUCCCCUCAAAAAAAAUCUCCCAAAGAAUACAAAUAUAUAUAAAUAAAUGUAAGCUCAAAUAUGCAUAGUAAAAAGCCCCAUCAAAGAGACUUAAGCCAGUAACAAUAUAUAAUGGAAAUUAAAACACUGAAAACAAAAACCAUAGCUAAGACACAAGUGGUGAAGAAAAGACUUCUUGGUUUAAAGCAUUAAACUGAGGAUACCCCAUCCAAUCACCAAGCUCCACACCAUCUUUCUUAUGGACCAUGUUUUCUGUACUCCACUCUGCAAUAAUCAAAUAACAUCUUGUAUUCAUAUUUUUUCCCACUAUUAUUAUAAUUGGAUAUGCAAAAAAAAAAUAGCUUCAUCCAUUGAAAGCUAAACAUGUUUUUGGAUAAAAAUAUAUUAAAUUUGAAAAAAUGAAUUUAGACUAUAAUAUUAAAAAAUAUUUAAAAAAUAAAUUGGGUUUUAGUUAAAUAUUUGAAGUAUAGACAUAGAUAGAAUUAAUUAAUUAUAAAUAUAGAUAAAUUUCAACAAAAUUUAUAGAUGCCAUUAAUAUGAUAUGUGUGUGUUGAUCCAACCUGAGGUCUAAUUAAAGCUUUCCAUGUCAGAGUUUACGUUAGAAUUUAGAACACCCUCUAUAUUUUUGCUAUAUUAGACAUACUUAAAUUUUAAACCCCAUAAGAGAAUAUGCAUAUACAUAUACAUAUAGAUAUACAUACCGUAUCGGUUCCAGCAGGGCCUGGUGAAGAAGCGCCGAGGCUGGGAGUAGGGGCCUCAUUUGAUGGAGACGGUGGGCUGGAGGCCGAAGGUGAUAGUGCUGGAGACUUAGCUUUGGUCUUGCUAGGGGCCGGAGCUGGAACCGUGGCAGGAGGAGAAGCCAAAGGAGCUGGUGGUGGGGUAGCUGGAGGAGGAGUAGCAGGAGGGGGAGAAGCAGGUGGUGGGGUAGCCGGAGGUGGAGAAGCCGGUGGGGGAGUUGCGGGAGGUGGAGUAGCCGGGGGAGGAGAAGCUGGUGGUGGGGAGCUAACGGGCGGGGGAGUCGCUGGAGGAGGAGUGGAAACUGGUGGUGGUGAUGAAGUAGGAGGAGGAGAGGAAGCUGGUGGCGGAGAAGUAGUUGUGGGUGUUGGAGGUGGUUGAGUAGUAGGUGGAGGUGUGGAAGCGGGUGGAGUCGGCGGCGCCGGCGUGGAUGUCGGAGGAUUACUAGGAGUAGGAGGAGCUUGGCCUAAAACGCCAGCUACAGCAAUGCAAAACAAAGCUGAUAAGAACAAAAACUUAUUAUUAAGCAUCAUAUUGGAAACAAUGGUGACCCUUUAAUCCUGCACACCCUCUCCGCUUAAACUACGCCCAGCCGUGCAAGCAAAUGAGGGAGAAGAAGAGGCAAGUAUGAGAAAUGAAAAGAUGGUGAUAUUUAUAUAUAGGAUAUGGAAAUUUCCAUAUCAUAUUUCAAUUUAAAAUCCCCAAAACAAAUACCAGCAUUUUUAUUUUAUUACUAAUGGGAAAAUUGCAUUACUAAUCAUAUACAAUAUUCUAUAUUAAUUUAGUGUAAUUUAAUUCUUUCAUUUUUUUAUAAUGUUAUUAAUAGGUCCAAAAUCAAUAUCUCCGAUCGUUAGUUGCUGUCAUUAAAGUGAUGAUACGAAAUUAUUUUUUUUACUAUUAUUCCAUCAUACAAUCAGAGAUAUAGAAAUCAAUCAAUUUUGUUAAACAAAUAAUAAAUUUCAAUCUGAGUCAAAUGCUUAAAGUUGUUAAAAAAAAUUCACGUCAUCACUUUAACAACAUCAACUAAUAGCGUUAUCAAUUUGUACUUUGUAGCUACCAAUAACAUUAUAAAAAUAAAGGGUCAAAUUAUAUAGAAGUAAAGGAUUAAAUCUCUAAUUUCAAUUUAGUAAAGGGACUAAAAUGGAAUUAAACCUAUUAGUGGGGGUCGGAGUUUUUUCCUCGUUUGGUGAGGUAAAAAAAAAAAAAAACCCUAGUGGGGCAUAGUUAUAAUGUCACUUUGAUGAUUAUAAAUGAUGCGUUAGUUAGUCAUACUUUAGGUAAAAAACUGUGAGGUGGGAUUAGUGUAGAUUGAAAAUUUUUAGUGAAGGGGUUAAUUUAUACCUUCAAAAUUUUGCAAUAUUUGGUAGUUCCAUGAAAUAUUCCCCGCUAUUUAUCAACUUUUCAAUCACUCAAAUAGGUUUUAAUUUAGUUUUGUUGUGAAAUUUCUAAUUCAAGCAUACAAUGAGUAGAUUUUAUUAUGGGUCGGGUCGGGUUAUUAUAAAAUUUUAGGUGUAACGUCCCGAAUUUUUGGGCCUAGAAGUUAAAAGAUUUAAGCAUAGGGGCAGUAAGGAGGCCACACAUAAGUGAUUAGUUGUGCACUAUAGUGAUAAGAAUGGGCUUAUUAGUCUAGUGGUUAAAUGGAGUGUUAAUUAAGUUCAAGGUUUUUGGUUUGAGUCACUAUGUGUACAUUUUGGGAGUCUUUUUAUUUUGUUUUUUUUUAGUUAGUGAUAAUAAUUAAUUAUUUUAUUUUAUUUUUAUUAUUUUUCUUUUCUUUUCCACGUUAGUUCUCUCUACUUCUUGGUUUUUUUUUCUUUUUGUUCUUUUUCCUUGGACUUUCAAUUUGUGCAUUCUCUAUGUUUUUGAAUCGUUUGCUUACAGAUUUCGAAUUGUCGCACCUCUAUCGUCUUCUUCGUCGUUCAAUCAGGUGAGGGAUUCAAACUUUAACUACAUUGUUUAAUUUUGCAAAGUUUACGUGCGGCUUUUCUUGAAUAUGUGAUAACCCGAAGGUUUUUGGGUUUUGAUCGUUGGAAGUGAGGAAAAUACGUUAUAUUGUGAUAUGUUCUUGAUGUGGUUAAGGUUAGGGACAGUUUGGGUGGCUAAAACGGUGUUUUCGGGGCUAAUUUGGGGUGGUUUCAUGACCUCUCCGGCAGCUACACGGGCGUGUGCCGUGGUAGACAGUCAUAUGGAUUUGGGAACUAGGGUUUCCAGGCCAAAUUGGAUGCCACACGGCCGUGUGGCCGAUUUGGGGAUUUUGUCGAAAUUCACACGGCUGUGUCCCCUAGGCACAUGGGCAUGUGGGUUUGGAAUUAGGGUUUCAGAGAUUUGAAGUCACACAGCCUGGCCAUACGGCUGUGUGGCUGAUUUUGGGAUUUAGGGAUCCCACACGAGUGUGUGUUUCGUAACACACAACCAUGUCUAGUUGGCACACGGGCAUGUGAGACCCUCACAUAGCCGUGUCUGCCCUGCACCUUAUUUUAGCGAAAUUGGACAGUGAGUUACACAGCCUGUUCACACAGUCGUGUCUCUGCUUCGCACGGGCGUGUGCCUAUGUCACAUGGCCGUGUGCUAUCCUUCACAAGGGCGUUUGAAGCCUCACACGAUCUGGAUUGCUCUACACGGCUGAAGCAUACGGGUGUGUAGCCCUAUCUCGCCAAAUAAUGAUUUUAGGUCAAAUUUAAGUGCAAUCGUGACUCUAUGUAUUCCAACCCUCGACUGAGCUCUAGUGAGGGUAUUUACGACGCUGAUCUGAGUUUGGAUAAUGUGUUAAUUGUGAUUGGUUAUGUGACAUGUUUGAUUCUGAACCCGGGUUAGCUGGGUGAGUGUGUAUGCAACUAGUUCUGUCUGACUGUUUGAAUACGUGUCAUUGAUAUGCGAGCUUAUUUUGCAAUUGCUACUGAAUUCAAGUUACGAGUAUACUUAAGACUAAUUUUGUAACUAACUGAUUGGAUGUGAGCGUCUACUUCUGAAUAAUUGUUUGAGACUAGUAUUCUGAUUGUGUACAUCUGACUGCAUACAUACAUACAUAUGCAUAAACUAUUUUGGGCGGGAUUUUUGAAGAGAAGGUGUUGUAGGCCAAUUUUGGGCCCGUUUACACUUUAGGCCGAACAUACAUCAAACCCAUUUACAAUUAAACCCCAGCAUAACCCACAACCCAAACCCAACAAAUAAACCCAAAACCAAACCCAAAUUUAACCCAAUUCAAAUCCCAUAGACCCAAACCCACAUGUAAGCCCAAGUUGUUAGACCCAACUAGCUUGAUUUAGGGUUUCAAAAAAACUGAAACCCUAACCUACCCCCAGCGCCGCCAACGUCACAUCGCCCAUGCCAGUCCACUUGCACUACCUUUGCUCCACUGUUCAACCACCACCUGCAAAACAAAAGAGCACGCAACAGCAGCGCAAAAAUAGGAAAUAGACAGUGUAUGAACAACAAAAUCGGCUAUAAAGCCGAAUGGAAACCAAUGUAAUAGAAAAUAUUUUCGGUUAUUUUCUUCAUCAAUACAAAAAAAUAGAUUUAAACAUAUACAAGCAAUAAUUCGGGGAAAAUCAAAACACUAGAAUAACACCAAUUGGGCAACCAAAACAUCAAUAUCAAAAGCCUAAGGUGAUUUAAAUCUUUUUAUUUUUAUUUAUUUUUGAAUCAUACAUACCUAUGUAUUUUCAUAAAUAGUAUAAUAAAAAGGAAAAUAAAAGAAUAAAAAAAAGAUAGGAAAUUUUUACCUUUUCCGGCCACCGUGCGACGGUGGCACACGGCGGUCCGGCAACCAGACGUGGACGGCGACCGGCCUUGUGGCCGGAAUUCGCCUCUCCUUCUCCCCUCUCUCUUUUUUUUCUUUGCUAUGCAGAAAAUGAAUUUUUUUUGAAGAUUUUGGCCUUUUUAUAGCUUCCUAAAACGACGUCGUUUUGGGGGUUGCCCUUUAACCUCAAAACGACGUCGUUUUGCCCUGGAUCAGGUCGACCCGACCCUACCCACUCAGGAUCUGAGUGUUUUUGCUCUUAGGGGCUAAUUGCGCACGCGGUCCUUCCGCUUUUUCUAUGUUUUUCAAUCAGGUUUUUUAUGUAUUUUAAUUUGGCCCUAUAAUUAGUUGCGCUUUCCAAUUUGGUCCUCAAUGCUAUUGCGCAUUUUGGGUGGAGAGGCUUAUUUCGUUUUAAGUCCCUCCACUAUUUGUGCGCGUUGAAAUAGGUCCCCUUCCCUUCUUUUUAUUUCAGUUUUUGCCCCAAGCCUUUUAUUUUUAAUUCGAUUCGAUCCUUUUUUUAAUUACUUUAUUAUUAAAAUUAAUUAUUUUAGUAUUAUUGUUAUUAGCACUAUUCAUGUACAUAUAUAUUAUCAUUAUUGUUACUAUUACUAUUAUUAAUCUUCAUAUUAUUACUAUUAUUUCUUUAUUUUUAUAUUAUAUUAUAUUAUAUUAUUAGUUUUUACUAUUAUUAGUAUUAGUUUUAGCUUCAAUUAAUAUUUUUAACAUGCAUAUUUAUAUACUUUUAUGUAACAUUAUUAAUAAUUAUUUUUUAAAAUAUUAUUAUUAUUUUUUAAUACAUGCAUAUAUAUUAUGUGUAUAUUCUUUUAAUAGACAUUAUGUAUAUAUAAUUUUAUAUAUUAUUUUUAACUUUACAUUAUGUAUAUAUUGUUAAUAUCAUAUUAUUCAUAUAUUCUAUUAUAUUAUAUAACUAUAUUAUGUAUGUAUUUUUAACACUAUAUUACGUACAUACUUUCAAUAUCAUUAUUAUUAUGUAUAUAUAUUUUUAAUAUAUAUAUGUGUAUAUUUAUGUAGUAUUAUUAAUAGUUGUUUUUAAUAUUAUGAUUAUUUCUAGUAUAUAUAUAUUAUGUAUAUACUUCUAAUACUAUAUAUUGUAUAUUUCUAAUACCAUUAUUAUUUAUAUGUGUAUAUGUGUAUGUAUUUAUGUAUCGUAUUAUAGUUGUUGUUUUUUUUGUAUCAUUAUUGUUGCUAAUAUAUAUAUAUCAUGUAUAUAUGAUUUUUUUUAUAUAUAUUAUGUAUAUAUCUUUAAUAUUAUAUUAUUUAUAUAUUUAUGCUUACAUAUUAUCUUACGUAUAUAUUUUUAAUAACUAUAUUAUGUAUAUACUAUUACUAUAUAUCUAUUUAUGUUGCAUUAUCAAUGGUUGUUUUUACUAUUAUUAUUAUUCUUAAUAUAUAUAUUAUGUAUACAUUUUUAAAUACUAUAUUAUAUACAUAUAUUUUUAAUACCAUAUAUGUACAUAUCAUUAUUAUAUCUAUUUUUACCCCUAUUACAUUUGUUAUUAAUAUUAGUAUAUAUUUUAUUAUACGUGUAUAUAUAUACUUUUUAAUAUAGUAUUAUUUUUAUAUAUCAUUAUAUUUAUUAUUAUACUUAUUAUUUUCGCUAUUGUUACUUAUUAUUUUAUUUUAAUAUUAUUGUGUAUUAUUUGGUAUACAUAUAUCUUUUUGUACAUAUUGUUAUUUUUUAUUAUACGUAUAUUAGUUUAUUAUGGUAUUAAUACAUUUUUACCUUUUUCUUUUAUUGUAAAUAUUAUUUAUUAUUACUCUAAUAUCCUAAUAUUAUAUUAUAAUACUUUUUAUUAAUCAUCUCAUUAUUUUGCAUCGUUUAUUUACUUAUGAAUUUUUGUUAACAUCAUCAGUUUUUUUUUAUCAUUAUUUUAGAAACAUUUUUAUUUUAAUAAAUAAUGCAACGUACCGAUUUUAACAUUAAGUUUGUGAUUUCAUCGCUAUGUUGGGUGAAUCACGUUGGCUCGUGUUAAAAACGGGACAUCCUUCAAAAAAACCAAAAACUUGAAAUUUCUCGUGUCUUGGUCGGAUCAUGAUUAAAUAUUAAAUUAAACUUGUAUUUUUGAAAAUUAAGACAACGCGUAAUUAACAAGAUACUAAUUUUGGGCGUCGUGAGGGUGCUAAUACCUUCCUCGCGUGUAACCGACUCCCGAACUCUAUUUUCCUCUGGAUUUUCACGUAGACCCAAAUUCGGCCUUCAUUUUUGUUCAAGAAUAAAUUUUCUUUUCUAAAAAGAAGAUUUAUUAGGUGUCUGAUCACACCUAGAAAAAAGAUCGGUGGCGACUCCUUUUCUUUUUAAAACCGAAAUUCCAUUUUCAAAUAAUCGCCUCAACUAGCGACCGGAAAGUGAAAUUUUUACGUUGCUACAGAAGGAAGAUUGACUGAACUGAACUGAUAGCUAAUAUGUUGCCCCUAAUACCCAGAGGGUCAUGGGCGGUCCCAAUACCCUGAGGAUCGUGGUUAAUUUGACUGUACUGCGGACUAUCGCACUGUACUGUACAGAACAUACAUCAGCACCGCUGCUAUCAUUGACUAAACUGGCAAUUUUACUGCAACCUAACGAUAUAGCGGUCUACCGCAUUGCAUUGUACCGCAUGUACGUUAGCUACGCUACGUACUAUUAUCUGAUCUGGCAGUUCAUACUGCAUGUCUGUACCGCGGUUCACCGCAUUGCACAGUACAACCUAUACGCUGGCUUUCCUACGUAAUUUACGUGACUAGCAGUUUAUCUGCAUACUGUUAGCCCAAAUUCCCAGAGGGUCGAUGGCAAUCCCAAUACCCUGAGGGUCAUGGACAAUGCUGAUGAUCAUCGUUGUCGGGUAACCCGGGAUGACAUCAUAUGGGGUGUAGGGUUGGAUGGGCUUUGCGAGGUCCUGUAUGGAGUGUUUGGUGGGACAAGCUUAAAGCUUUUAUGAGAAGUGAUGGGGGACGGAGAGGUGUGUUGGCUGGAUAGGUGGAUAUUUUUAGAACUCAUUUGUACUCAUAUGUAUCUGAUUGAUCUGUUUAACUGAAUUGGAACUUGUGAAUGGUUGAGAAUUAUUGCUACUGUGACUGAAUGUGAUACUGUUCGAUUGAGAGGCACUUGUGCCUAUGUGAAUUUUGUAGAUUCUGAUUGCGACUGUCUGACUGGAUUCUUACUGUGACUGAUUAAGAUUUGUUGCUACUCUGUCUGAGUGGUACUUGUGGCUGAGUGUAUCUAACUGAUUGAGUUAAAACUAGUGGCAGAAUAGCACUAUGUUUGUGUAGCUGAGUGUAAUUUUUAAUAUGCAUUAACAAAUAUCUGUCUGUCGGUACGUCCGUUUCGAACGUACCCUUUGGUUCUGAAUAGCUCUGUAAGUAUGUUUUAUUUCUGAACUGCUUUUAGUUCCCUGUUUCUGUCUCUGUAGUUUAACUGGUUUGAUCUCAAACUGAGCUCGAGUAGCUCACCCCCUCUUUCGUUUCCCUUUUCAGGUACAAUUCUGGAUUAUGUUGAUGGACUUGGCACGCGAAGGUCUCAGACAGUCUCGCAAACAAAUAAAUUAUCAGUUUUGUUUUCCGUUACGAUUUUGUUAUUUGGUUAACUUUGAACUGUAAGGCUUUAUAAUACUGUGGUACAGUUUCCAUUUUAGAUUUUCAUGCAUACGUUUAUUUUGGGUUUUAUAUUGAGUCUUACUGUAAAUUUUAUUGACUGAUUAUUAAAUGGUUUUAAACACUUUUGGUUCACUGAGAUGAGUUAUUUUGUAAAAUUUUCCUACGAUCACUUCGGUGAUCAAUGUAGCAUUCCGAAUUCGGUCUAGACUUUUAGGCCGAGUUUGAGGUGUUACAUUAGGUUUAUUUUUUAGGUUCUAAUUUGACUCGAAAAAUAGGUCUAAAAUUUUAACUAAACCCAGUUUAGAUAAAAAUAUUAAACCCAAGUCCAAACGUAUUAAACUUUUUAUAUUAUUAUUUAUAAAAAAACAAAUUUAAAAAAUAUAAUACAUCAAAUACACUAAAAAUAUUAAAAUAGAUGUUUCCUAAUAAAUUGAAAAUACAUUAAAAAAGUUUUUAUACUUAACAAGCAAAUGCCUUUAAAAUAGUAGCAAAAUUAACAAGCCCAUGAUUAGGUCUAAUGAUGAGUUCUUUUGUUAGUAAUGUUUAUUUUGGUAUUUGAGUUUUUUCUGUCUUAAUUUGGUACUUAAUUUUGACUUUAAUUUUUUUCCAAUUAAGCACUUAAGUUUGGCUUCAAUGUUCAAUUUGGUACCUAAUUUUUUUUGUCCAAAUUAAUUACCUAUAUAUUUUUUACCAAAGCAUGUGUGUCAAACAUUUAUUGGAUCAUAUGAUGACAUUUGGCUUAGGUAUCAAAUUGAAUAUCAAAUUCAAACCUAAGUACUAAAUUGAAACAAAAAACACAAAUACUAACUUAAGUAUUAAAGCUAAACUCAAGUAUCAAAUUGUAUAUUAAUCAUUGGUAAACAAAAUUUCAAGGAUUAGCAUCUACUAAGCUUUCAUUUUCCCUUUUGCAUGUUACAAUUGAUAUUUGUUUAACGCAUAAACUUGGUAUCUUUUUUCCCGUAAUGAUCCAUUUUCAACAAUUUUUGUACACCUAUAUUAAAAUCUGAAAUAAUUUGGUUAUCUUCAACAUACAUAAAGCUGUUAUAUUAAAGUUUAUUUAUAGUUGAGAUUUUUAAAGGAUUUUUAUAAGAUAUUUUUUACACAUUCUUUCCAUGACAUUAAGGAGUAGGGAAGAAAACGUGGUAGUGUUAAAAGGAUCAGUUCAUCUAAACAAGCGGAAAGUCAAAAUAAGAAACAAAUUAAGGAGGAGUAGGGGACUCACACAUCCAUAACAUAUGCAUAUGUUAAUAUUAAAAAUUUACACAACGCAAUUGUAAAUGGUGAGACUUGGACUUCGAUACUUAAAGACCCAAGAUAUCGCCUUAACCAAUAAUGUCAACAAGAUCUCAUUAACUUUUUAGGAAUUUUCUUAACUUCACAUAUAGGGAUUAAAAAAUUACGAUAUAACUCAAUAUAAUAUUAAAGAGUAAAAGUUAAUCAAAAUUUACAUAUAUCACUCAUUUAAUCAUAUGUGUACAGAUAAAAGGAAGCCACUCAUCCUCUUGCCAACCCUACGUGUAACAUAAUUCACUAUAAAUUCCACCUACAUAUACAUACAUACAUAAAUAUAAAAGAGAAUUUCAUGGUCUUGGACUAGAUUGGCUACAAAAUUUGACAAACGGCAUGUGUAGGAGGAUUAAAUUCGAUGAAUUGCAUGAGAGUUUCUCCUUUUUGAUAAUUUAGUACAUGAGAGAAUAAUGAUGAUUGUGGGGGGGGGGGGGUGCUCCAUCGAAAUAGCUGGAAUUUAUUUAUUUUAGUGAACUGGCAAAUGUAAUUUGUACGCCAAGUUAUAAGGUGAAAAAGGGAGAAAUCAUAUAGAUUUGGUUGGUAAUGGUAUGUUGAUGUUGGAACACCUGCGGUGCACCGCCACAAUUAGUAGGCCCCUAGCCCCGCUGUCACCCCAUCAUAUGUGCUUUUGGAUGGAUCCAACAUUUUCGUGUUCUUUCAUUCUUCAACAUCAUCAUUAUUAAUUAGUUACUCUUCAAUUUCUAUAUGUAAUUUGCUUUCUUUUCAUUCAUAGGUUUUCUGUUUUCUGUCUUUGAUUUUGUCUUGUGCACAACUGAUGUCCUCCAUUUUUUUCCCCUUUUGUAGAAUUGGGUUUGUCACUUUAAUAGUGCCCGAAAUUAUUUUAUGGAUUUUUUUCAUCAUAUCAUUUAUAAUCUAUUUUUAGUUAUUUAAUGAUAUUUUAGUAAUUUUUUUAUGUUAUUGACACAUAAUUUUACUAAUUUUUUUACCCAGAACCCUCAAUCUUGAGUUUAGAAUCUUGAACCCCGAACCUUGAACCCUAAACUCAAACAUUAAACUCCAAACCUAAACCUUAAAUCUUGAAACCCUCAAGGUUUAGGUUUGAGGUUUAAGUUCAAAUUCAAGUUUGUAGUUCAGGGUUCGAGGUUUGAAAUUUAAGGUUCGGGUUCAGGGUCAGAGUUCAACAUUCAGGAUUCUAGGUUUGGGGUUUAAGAUAAAAAAAAAUUACCAAAAUUAUAUGUCAAUGACAUGAAAAAAAAAUUACUGAAAUGUCAUUAAAUAAUUAGAAAGGGACCAUGGAUGAUGUGGUGGGAAUGGUCCAAAAAUAAUUUCUCAUUUGUAUGGGAUAUUAUUCAUUAUCUAUUAUAAUUUGAUAUCUCUAUUUUUAUAAUAUUAUUAGGGGAAAGGAUUGUAUGAAACAGUGACGCCAUGUCAUCUGUAUCCCUUUCCAAUAAUUUUAUGCCAUAUCAUUACUUUUAUCCUCAAUUUCAGGAUUUUAUCCUGAAAAAAAUCAAAUCCAAAUUAAAAUCCUGAAAUUCAGGAUAAGAAUAUUGAUGUGGCAUAAAACUAUUGGAAAGGGAUACAGAUGACGUGGCGUCACUGUUUCAUACAAUCCUUUCUCUGUCCAAAUUUAUAACAAUGUUGAUUGCUUCACUAAAAUGAGAAGGUCCAAAAGAGUUAGAAGAUGUUAUUGAGAUUAAUAAAGGAGUAAUUUAUUUCGAGAUAGAUUAAUAUAAUUUAUUUGUGUUUUUUAUUUAAAAAAAAAAGUAAAAGGACGUAGUAAAGGAAUUUUCAUGCAUCAAUAAUUUAUUAUUUAAACUAUGAAAUUUCAAAAAAGAAGAAAUUCAUGUUGAAAUUGAUACUAUCAAGCAAUUUAAAAGUGUAAAAAUUUCAGUAUCAGCUGGAUAUUUAAUGUCAAAUAAACUAAAGAAAUGAGAAACACAAGCCAAUUGUCCACAAUGAUUAACUUGUUCCUAAAAAGAAAGUUGUACAUAGACUUUGCUUAUAAAUCAAUCCAAUUUUUUUUUAUAUAAAAGGAAACAUAUUACAUACUUAUAUUGAGUUAUUUGUACCACAACCCACUUAAAUUAUGAUUUUAAUUUUCGAUUGAGUCUUAGUUCAAUUGAUAUUGGCAUUAUUAUCUGUGGAGGAGUGGAUUCAAGUGCGCUGAAACGCAUUAUCCUUCUAUUUAAAUGUUGGGAAGGAACUAUAGAUUCGAAAGCAGAUAUGAUAAGAACCUAUAAUAAAAUUAAUGUAAUGCCUCCUUUUUCCUUUAAAUCCUACUUAAAACACACUUACUUAUUAUUUGCUAAAAUAUUGACAAAUCUAUAAUUUGAAUUCGAACAUUUAUAAUUCAAUCUUGGUCCCUUUAAUACAAAAAAUGUUGGCUUCACCCUUGAUCAAUUUAGUCAUCAAGUUUUUUUUUUUUAACAUAAAUUUCAAUAUAGAUUCUUAUCAUAUUAGCUCUUUUUGAUACAAUGCUUAUAACUAUCCAUAGCCCUUCCCCAAUCAUUAAAUAGUAGGAUAAUACACUUUAACGUAUUCGAAUCCACAUCCUCUUCUACUGACAACAAUGUCAAUCAAUACAAUUUUAAAUACGAGUGUACUACUUAGAUAAUCAUAUCCAAGGUACACAUACUUUUAAAAUUUGAUCCACACACUUUAAAUAUACCCCACCUCUGAUCUAAUCUAGCAUUUAUCACCUAAGCUGACGGUUAGAGGAACAAAAGAACUUGAUUGAUAUAAUAUCAAUAUUUUAUAGACUCAAUCGUACCAUAAUUAUGGACGUUUUCGCUGAGUUAACUCUAUAUCUAAAUAAGUCAUGGUAAACAUUCAAUAUUAAAAAAGAUAAAGGGAAAGUAUAAUAACCCAAAACACCAAAUUUUGGUUGGUUUAAUUUGCAGCUUUAACCAAUGCUUUUGCAUGAUCCAUCAAUUAGUGAGGAUUUUGAUCUUAAUUGGAGGGUCCCAUUCGGUUAUUAAGCUCUUUUUCCACCCUCAUGAUUGCCAUAACAUGGGCCCUUACCGUUUUACUUUGGAUACCCUUUUAUCUUUGCUUUGCUUUGCUUUGAUUUAAGGUUUUAUACAUAAAUGGUCACUUAAACUAUACCUCAAUUUUUAGAUUUGUCCUUAAAGUUUUUUUUUUAUCAAGAGUGGCCCCCACACUAUCAAAUUUAUCUCAUUUUACCCAAAAAGCGUACAAUAUCCAAUAAAAAUAUUUAAAAUGUGACGCGUGUCACAUUCUUAUUGGUUAAUAUCAUUUUUUGAAUAAACAAAAAUAAAAUUAACAGUUUAGCGAUCACUUUGACCAAAUAAAAAAGUUUUAAGGACUACUUUAGGAAUUUAGAUAUAACUUAAGAGUUAUUUUAUUAAUAAAGCUUUGAUUUAUUCAUCAAUUAACACUGAAAGAGUUUUCCUUAAUUUACUCAAAUGGUCUUUUUGUUUGUAUCACCUAACAUUUUGAAGAACAUCCUUUCUCUGUGUACCUCAUACAAUUCGUUAAUACGAAAAUUUUAUGAUUUUUUUAAAAAUAAAUUUAAUUGUCACGUUGCAGGUUACAAAUACUUUUAAAUAAGGGCUUUUUUCAUACAAGAAUACCAAUUAAAAAAUAUCUUCAAAGGUAUAUCAGUUAUACUCAGAUCAAAAUGUUUAAACUUAAUUUAUCUAAUUUCUUCGGCAGGGACCUAACCCAAAAUUGGUAAAAUUAAAAUUAGAUCUUUAUAAUUUUGAAGCAUUAAAAUUGAAUUUUUUUUAAAUUGUAAAAUUAUAAAUUUAGCCCCUAAAAAAAUUAUAAUUCAACUUCAGCCUCUAAAAUUUUUUCCUCUAACUUCAUCUCCCCAUAAUUCAAUAUAUUUAAAAAAAUUUGUGACUGACAUUACCAACAAAAAAUAUAUUUAUAAUUAGUAUUUAAUAUACAAUUAAUGAAAUGUUUUAAUUCUAUAAGCAAUGUUCAAAAUUUUCAUAUAUCUCAAUUUUUAAUAUUUUUUUUAUUAAAUCAUGAAUGAAAUAUAUAUUACCUUUCAGAUUUUACUUGUAGAGUCUAAUAACUAUAUGACGCAUUAAAUCAUUAUACAUAUAUAAGGUCAAGUGGUCCAUAGGUAGCUUAGAGUACAAGGGAUUAAGUUGAGGGUCUCUUAUCAUUUUCCCCAAAUGUGAAGUGAUGUUAACUGCUUAGCUUUCUCCUCUUGCCCCAUUCAUUUUCCUUCCUUUCCACAAUAUAUAUUGUAUAAGUAUUUAUGGGUAAUCGAUUGAGUAUUUACUCGAUUAAUAUGAGUAUUAAUGUCAAUAGAGGAGGACGUAGAUUUGGCGCAUUAUUCUUCUAAUCAUGGGUUGAGAGGCUAUGAGUAGUUUUAAAUAUUAUGUCCAAAAAAAACAGAUAUGAUUAGAACCUAUAAUAAGAUUAUUUAAAAAAAUAUUUAUGGGUAAUCAGUUUAUACAAUUUCGAUUAAAUGUAUAAAUCCAAUCAUUAAUCAUUAAAUUGUUUUACUUUAUGCCAUAGUAUUGUUUUAACUGCAUAAGCAUGUGGGUUAAUGAAAACUACUUAUAGUAUCUCAAUUAAAUGUAAUCAACAACCUCAACUCAUAUCUCCCAUCUCUCUCACUCUCAAUUAUAUAACCUAUUAAUAAUUAACAUUAAUAACCCACUUUCAAGUAGAUCUCAGGCUACCUGCCAUGCCAAGCCUAAAGCUUAUAAGAUGCUUGAAAAGGUUUGCACAAAUAUACAAGAAUAAGUAGGAUAAUGGUUUGGGCAAAAAUUAAGCUUAAUUAUUUAAAUUAUAGAUUAAAUUUAUCGAUAAAUCAUGUUAAGCGUAAUGAUAAGAUAUAUUAUACUCUUAAGAAAAGAAUGUAGAUUCAAAUACUAGAAACGAUAUUGUUAGGAAAAGUAAUCACAAAUCUCAAACAUGAAUCAUAAAAUAAACAUAUAAAAUACUAAAAAAAAUCGAAUUUAAACUCAUUUAAAAUUGUUGAAACAUGGAUAAUUUAACUCAAUAUUGCAACAGGAAUUUCGAUAUAGUUUCUAUAAAAUUUAGUGUUACAAUAUGAUUUCCCAUAGAAGUGUGAUAAAAUCAAUAAUGUUGACUUGUAUUAUUGCAUUAAGUAGUGCAUGAAAUGUAGGAUUCUAUUGUAAAAGAGAAUUAGAUAAAAUUGUAUAAAGUGCAUACUAAAAACUGUUUUGGAGGCUUUAAAGAAUUCUAUUCGCUUAAAAGGUAAGAGUCUACUUCAUCAGCUAAGGUUUACAAUGUAGGGUAAGUGUUCAAUCGAAUUAAGUGAAAAAAUUUUGAGUUUAUCGAGUUGAUGAGUCCUAUUUUAUCAUACUAACUUGAUUUGAAAUUUUCUCGAAUCGAGUCGAGUAAAAUGAAAUUCAAGCCAAAUCAAAUCAAGUGAAAUUAUUUGAGUUAAAUUAAAAAAUUAAACAUGUCAAAUUAAAAUCUUGUUAUAGUAUAACUAAUUUUAUGUUAGAGCACAUAAAUUUGAAAUCACAUAUAUUUGAAAACUUUUUCAAAGUAAAAUAAGAAAAAAAAUAAUUUAAUAUAAUAAACUUAAAUUAUUAAUUAACUUUUAUUUAAGUCCCCAAAAUUAUUAUUUUAAAAAAAAUUAAAUUUUUAACUUUCUUUAUAUACUUUAUAAUUUUUUUAAAAAAAUAUAAAAUUUGGAAUUUUUAUAAAUAUUUUGAAUUUUAAAAAUUAUUAUGAAAAUUUUGAAAUUUAUUUUGUAUUUUUUGUUGAAAGAGAUCAAUUUGCUUUUUUUUUUAAAAUUAAUAGGGACCAAAAGGGGUAUUUAUACCAAUCUAUUAUUCGAGUUAUUCGAAUUGUAAAAUUCAACUUGACUUGAACUCAGAACUCGAAUUACUUAUUCGAUUUAAUUCGAAAAAAUUGAAUAAGAUUCAAUUAACUUAGAAUUCGAUUUUUAUUUUAUUUUUUUGAUCAAAUCGAGUUUUGUUCACCCCUAAUAACUUGUUAGCAACUUAUGCAAGAAUUUUUUAAUUUUAAAAUAAAAGCUAAUAAGAUUAUUUUAUCUUGAUAUUAAAUGCUAUUUAUACAACAUAUAAAAGAUGGUGGAUACACACAGUUGGGGUAGACUUUUUGAGUGUUUCAUUUUUCGGGUUGAGGGAAUAUUUUGCAAGGUAAAUACACCUUGAUACCCUAGGUAUUAUUUGGAGAAUUUUAUUCACUUGUAUGCAAAGAUGUUUGCAAUAUGUGAUAAUAUUUUGGGAGAUUGGAUGCAAACAAUUGCAUACUAGUGAAACUACUUUUUAUCUACAUUUUGCAAGAUAGAUACAUUAUAAUUAGAGGUGUCCAUAAGUCGGAUUGGAUCCAAUCAAAAUUUUAUACCCAUUUGUCAGGCUAAAAAUAUUAAAAUUCGAGUCCCAUCUGGCCCGUUCGUAUUAAUUUUUUUAUAUAAUUUUUUAAAAUAUAUAUAAUACAUCAACAAUACUAAAAACAUUAAAAUAAAUGUUAAAAACAUUAAAAUAAAUGUUCCCCAACAAAUUGAAAAUAAAUUUACAAAUUGAUUAAUAAAUUUUAAAAAAAUAUGUAUACUUAAAUAACACUAAGAUAUGUAUAACUUAACAAGCAAAUACCUCUAGAAUAGUAACAAAAUUAAAAAUAAAACAACAGUAAUACAAUAUCCAAAUAAUAACAAUAAAAUAGUAGCAAUAUAAUUGUGAAAUGGUAGCAAAAUAAUGAAAAAGAAGAAGAAAAAAAAGAAAAAAAUUACAAUUCUUUUAUUUUGCAUAUUCGGGUCGGCUAUUUUCUAAACGGACCUUAUUUUUCAGCCAAAAAAGUCUUACCUGAGGCUCAACCCGUUUUCUAAACAAGCCUUAUUUUUUUGCCUAAACACAUUUUUCGGGCCUAUAUUUUUAUCCAAACCCUCCCACUUUUCAGGUCGGGCCACAUGUACAGGUUUAACCAUGAUAUAUUAGGUAUUAUUAUAAACUACUAAAUACUAAAUAAAAAAUAACAUUUAAAAUUAAAAAAAUGAAAAGAAAAAAAAACUUAAAUGAAUAUAUACAAUGUAACAAGGUACAUAAACCUACAUUGUGACAAGUGUCGCAACUUUAUUUUUUUAUUUAAUUUCUAUAUUGUUUAUCUAUUAAAUAAAAUUAAAAUAAUUUAAACACAAUUUUAUCUUAAUGUAUUACAAAAUUUAAUUAAAAUAAAUGAAAAUUGUUAUUUGGAAUAUAUGGAUUUUAAAAAUAAUAAUAAUUUUCAUUUAAAUAAAUUUUACAAAUAAUAUAUAAUGCUGAUUAUAUAGUUUUAAAUAAUAUUUUAAUAUAUGAAUUGUUAUCUACAUAUUUAUUUAAAUAUAUUACAAGAAUUAAAACUAUUUAAUAACAUAUUCAUCAUAAAAUAAAACGAGAAUUAUAAAUUAUUAUUAUUAUUAUUUUAAAAUAUUUAUUUAAAUAAAACUAUAUGAGCAUAGGUUGUAACAUUCUACAUAUUUAUAUAGGUAAACCAUCAUGAUAAAAACUAUUAUCAUAAAAUUUUGCACUUUUUAUUAUAUGAUAUGUAUAAAAUAGUUCAAUUAGAUAUGAUUAAUAAUAAUAUUUAUGCUCAUAAAAUUAUCAAAUUAUAUAUUACAAUGUAUUUAUAAUGGCUCAAAUAUUAAAUAAUGGUUUACGGGUUGUAAUAUAUAAUAGUUCAAACAUAUUAUAAAUUUGAAAUAUAAUAUAUAUUAUAUUGAAUUAUUAUUAAUAGUAGAUAAUACUGUUAUAAUAAUUUAUAGUAGUAAAAGUAAAGGGUGAGCUAACAAUUCAGUGUGUAACUCAAUCCAAACAAUCAGCACAAAUACAGAUACAGUAACAAAGAUGAAUAUAGAUACAGAUAUAAAUCCUACUUCAUCCACUACACACCAUAUUUGUUCAUCCCUAGACAUCAAUUAGAGUAUUAAAUACUCAUGCAACCUUACCCACCUAGAAGUGAGCGUAUGUCACUUUUCAGAACAGUGCAAUCAAGCUACCAGAAAUAAUGUAAUAAUCCGCCAGAAUUAGAUAAGUGUGGUCAAGCCAUCAGAACAAAUAUGUGGUUUAAACCACCAGAUAAGACAGAUCAUUAAAUUGUUAACACUUCCUCCAUCAUAUUAUUAUCCCACCUUAAUGCAUAUGCAAACAUUAAUCAGGUAACAAAUGCAUAUAUAUCAUACACGCUAUACGUAUCAGAAUAUACUAUCAUGCUUUUAGAAAUUGCACAAACAGAAUAUUAGAUUUCAUAUCUAUAAGUCAUACAUAACACAUUAUGAAACCUACAAAGUGGCUAAUCUCGAAUCGUACUUUAAAUACGGCCUAACUAAAUUUUAUAGAAAAUGAGCACACAUGCCCAUGUGACCCACACGGUCUGGCACACGGCCUCACACAUACUCAUGUGGCCCACAUGACCCACUUAACUUAGCCCAUGUGGCUCACAUGGUCGUGUGAUUUACACGGUCUGGCACACGGCCAUGUGGUGUCGACAAUGAAUUUUUUGGCUUCGCAUCGUUCAUUGUUUUUCGAGAUUAUCAUUACAGACUUGGUCGUUUUUCGAUACUAACACCACGAAAAAGAUUCCAGAACUUAAAACAACAUUUAACACGAACAAUUUAGCAACGAUACACUAAAUAUAAUCCAUUAAUUCAACCACAACCACUAACAUUAGGCCUUAACAAGCUGGAAAUCAGUCUUUUGGGCAUUCGAUUACUUACCCAGAACAGUAGUGACAGUCCUAAAAAUCUCCUAAUUCACUAGAAGGAUGUCACAUGCCUCACAAACUUCUCCUAUUGAAACAUCAAAACAAUCAAAAAAAUGAAUAUUGCAUAAUACUACAACCCCUAUUCGUCAUACGGAAACGAAUUAACCUUACCGAAGAAUGCACUUACAAGACUUACACUUAAACAAAAAUAUGAAUUCUUUGCUCGAACACGGCGCUACGGUGAUUACAUGCAAGAAAAUCAAUACCACAAGGAUUUAAACAUUGGACCUCUAGGUAAGCUGAAGUUUUACCACUAAAUCAACAAGCUCAUUCUUAUCAUUAAUUUAGCAAAAAUAAUAUAUAAGCUUAAUAUCCAAAGUCGGUGGUUGGGACAAAAAUAACAAAAAUUUAAAUGAAAGAAUUUGAACCUAGAACAUCACACACACUAACACAACACAUAACCAAUAAACUAAAUUAAUCACUUUAACAAUAUUUAACAAUUCAAAAAUAAGAAUUUUGAGACGUUGCUAAAUUGUAUCAUAUAUCAUAUAUCAAACUUACGAUACAUCAUUCAUAAAAAUUAUAACAAACUUACGAAAGGAUUUAAUGAUAUUUAAUUCUUAACGGGUAAAAACUUAUAUCAUAUAUCAUAUAUAUUUAUAUAUUAAGAAUUUGAAUCAUUAAUUAUAUAUCUAUAUAUUAUAAUAGUUUCAUCUUUCAAAUUUUCUUCCUCAUAAUUAAAGCAUAAGUUAUAUUUAUAAUAUCAUAAAUAUAUUAUAUUUCAAAAAUUUACACACAUAAUCAACCUAUACAUCGCUCGUGAUAAGAAAACUAAUUUAUAAAUAUGAAUGUACAAAAUUCGAGCUAAAUCUAGCUUCAAUUUUCCGGUGAACUUCUUUUGACUUUAAAUCUUACUUUUUCUUCUUCUUUUUGGCAAAAUAACUUAUUUGGCACAAAAACAAAAGUCGUUUUAACUUUUUUUUUCACCAUUUUUUAGCAUUUAAACUUGCAUUUUUUUGUUAAAUCACUCCAAAAUGAAUGGAAAAGUUAACAUUUUUAACUUUGCUGAUGUUUCGUACAUGUGGAUAACACAUCAACAUUUAAUAAAUCUUAAAAAAAUUAUAAAAACUAUUUUUAAAAUUUAAAAUAUUAAUAUUAUAAAAAAAUAUAAAUAUUUUUAAAAAUUAAUUAAAUGCUGAUGGGUCAUCUACGUAGCAAUCCAUAUGUAUGUCAUGUCAACAAAGUUAACAAAUAUUAAUAUUUUCAUCCAUUUUAGGAUGAUUUAACAAAAUAUAUAAAUUUAAAGACUAAAGAUGCGAAAAUAAUUAUAAGACCAAAAUGACUUUUUUUUUUAAUUGAAGGACGAAAUAAAUGAUUAUGUAAAGUUGUGAAUAUUAAUAUUACCAUAACAAUCAUAAUUCGCUUAUGGUUUAUUCAUUUUUAGGGUUUUCCUUACUAGGAGUCUAGGAUACUUGAAGGCAGAUAUUAUUAUUAUUAUUAUUAUUAUUAUUAUUAUUAAAUUUAAACAUAUUUUUUUAAUUAAGGAACAAUAAUUUGGUCCGGGUCGGUCCUUGGACAGUAUUGUAAUUUCCCAAGUUAUUAACAUUUGUUUAGGGUUUCUCAUAGUUAAGAAUUAAGUGGGCUAAUUUCCCAACUUAGAUUUGAUGAUACGAUUAAAAAAUAGGAAAUAUCAAAAUAUGAUCAUAUGAAUUAUUAAUACUAGUUUUUUUUUAUCUGAGUAAAUAGAUAAUUACUUGAAUCAAUUUAAUAAAAAUUAAUAUACUAAAAAAUACAAUUCCAUCAUUUUAAUAGUUUAUAUAUUUAUAAUUUUUAAAGAAUUAAAUUAAUAUUUUAUCAUUUUAGGGAGUUAAAAUUUAAUUUUACUAUUAUUAAUUUAAAAUUUUAUAAAUUAUAUGUACAUACCCAAUUUUGCCAAACCCAAAUACAUUUCAAACCCUUACUAACCCAAGUCUGUUUACAAUAUUUUCAGCCCAAUUAGCCUAACCCAAGUACUACUAGCCCAAUACCCUAAAUUAACCUAGCCCAGCAGCCCAAAACAAAUUAGCAGAGAGGAAACCCUAAUUCCACUUGCCUCCUUACUUGCGCCGCACGCUCUUCUGCCCUUGGCUACCACGCCCCACUUUCUUCUGACACCAGCACUGGCCACCUGCUCCACCAUGCCUCUGCCACCGCCGUUCGCCCAUACCCUGCAAAAUGAAACAAAUGCCAAGACAGAAGCAGACAGCACAAGCAGUAACAGAGAAUAAAACAAACAAUACUUUAAUAUGGGAAUCGGCUAUAAAGCCGAAAUGGAAAAUCUGUAAAAGGGGGGAUUUUUGCUAUGAAAACAAAGAUUUUCUUUCAAUUUUAACAGAUUGAAUACAAGAACCAUUCGAAAAUACAUAUACAAUCAGGGGCUCUAACACCAAAUCGGAGAAUCAAAUCUAAAACCUAAGGUGACUUUUCUUUCAUUUUUUCUUUACUAUUUUGAGUUUGUUUUUUACACAAAAAUACUAAAAAAAAUAACAAAACACAUAAAAACAUAUAUAUUAUUAAGCAAAAAAAAAGAAAAGAAAAUUUACCUUUUCCGGCCACCGUGCACGGUGGCCGACGCCGACGAGUCUCCGGUAACCGUCCGGCGACCGGACCCCUGGCCGGAGUCCCACCGAAAAUCGCCCUCUCCCUCUCCCUCUCCCUUUCUUUUCUUUUUUUUCCUUUCCCCAUCCCCAAAUGAAUUUUUUUUUAAUUUUUAACUUAUAUAGGGGACCAAAACGUCCCCCCCUUUAAUAAAUAAAACGACGUCGUUUUGGACGCGGGUCGGGUCGACCCAACCCGCACCAGGGCAGGAUCCGCGUGUUUCUUAGCGGAAGGGAAAUUUGCGUGCUCGGCCUUUCCGCUUUUCUGAGAUUUCACAAUUACGUUUUUUAUGUUUUGUAAUUCGGCCCUAGAAUUUUUCAUCGUUUUCAAUCUGGUCUCCGUGCUGCGCAACGUUUAGAUAGUUGGGAUUAUUUUCAAUUUUGGUCCCUCCAGGUUGCGCGUGCCUCACAUUUUGAUCCCUCCUCUUUGUUUCCUUUUUAAAUUGACCCCACAACAUUGUUUUUAAUUUAAUUUUAGUCCUUUUUCGUUAUUUUUAUUUCCUUAUUAAAUACUCUUAUUAUUUUUAUAUUAUUAAUUUUAUUAUGUAUUAGUUUAUGUUUUAUUAUACAAUUAUAUAUUUAUAAUAUGUAUACACGCUUAAUAUAUUUGUAUAUACUUAUAUAAUAUUAGUACUAAAAGUUUUUAUUUUAAUAUGUAUAUAUUACCUAAAUGUUUAAAAUUAUAUAUGUACGUAUAUUCUUCAUUAUGUUCUUAAUACUAUACUUUACAUAUAUCGUACAUUUUUGUUUCAAGUUUGCUUUCAUGUAUUGUUUAGUCAAAAUUGUUUUAUUACUCAUUUUAAAAUUGUUUCACAUACUUUGCUUUAAACAUUAUAUCUCUUUCAUAUUAUGCACGUCAUUUUUAACUCUAUAUUGUAUAUCACAAUCUCAUAUAUUAUGUAUGUACUUCUCAUAUUAUUAGUUAUGUAUAUAUUCUUUACAUUAUCUUAUGUACAUAUAUUUUUCAUAUUAUAUUAUAUACCUAUCCUUUUGAUACCAUGUUGUAUAUAUUUUCAAUACUAUAUUACAAAAAUUUUUACCAUAUUAUGUAUGUUAUGUAUAUACGUUUUAAUGUUUUUGUAUUAUCUUAUAUGUAUAUUUUAAUAACUAUAUGAGGUAUGUAUUUUUAACACCGUAUUAUGUACAUAACUUUCAACAUCAUUGUAUACACACUUUUUAAUACUAUGUUAUUUAUACGUUUUUAUAGGUAUCGUGUACAUGCUCUAAAUACCAUCAUGUAUAUAGUUUUUUAUUGUUACUAUUAUGUAUACAUAUAUAUAGUAUCAUUAAUAGUUCUAAUAUCAUGCUCCCAUCACUUUGCUAACUAUUAUUAUAUGUUUGUAUAUAUUAAUUCUUAUUUCGCGUUUAAUACUAUUGUUAACAUAUUUAAUAUCGCAUAUAUGGCCAUUGUUUUAAUAUUCUCGUCGUAUUUAUCAUUUAUUUCAACAUAUUUCUAGCCCUUCCAUUUGUUCACUUUUAUUUCAUAUCAAUUUUGCUUGGCAUUUCUUCGAAAAUCUUAUUCUCGUUUUCUAAUUAAUUUCAAUAAUCGAGGCAACAUAUCGACUUAACAUUAAGUCAUCGAGUUCAUCGCUAUGUUGGGUGAACGUCAAUUGACACGUGUUAAAGCGAUAUACCCUUCUCAAAAAACGGAAUAAACUAAAAUUUCUCGUUUUUUAAUCGGAUCACGACUAAAUUUUACAUUGAACCCGAAUUUUUAAAAAUCAAGACAACCUGUGUUUAUGAGAUACCAAUUUUUGGGCGUCGCGAGGGUGCUAAUACCUUCCUCGCGUGUAACCGACUCCCGAACCUUAAUUUUUCUCUGGCUUUUAACGUAGACCUAAACUCAGUCUUUUUCUCGUUUUUAAAGAAAAAAGAAAUUUAUUAGGUGUUCGAUCACACCUAGGAAAAAGGAUCGGUGGCGACUCCCCCUUUUAUUUCAAAAUCGAACUUCAGUUUCCAAACUUUUUCACUAGAUCGCCACAAUUAGCGACCCCGAAACCAAUUUUUACGUCGCUACAUUAUAAAUGAGACUAAAUAGAAAAUUUUCUAUUUUAAGAAGGCUCAAAGACCUUGCCAGCCUCCUUGACUUCACCAUUGAAAUCUAGAAUAUACUCCUCACUAUGCUUUGGAAAAUUAAAGAUUUGAAAUUAUAUUAUUGUGUAAUAGAUAUAAUUAAUUUUUAAAUAUAUAAAUAAAGUUAAAGUUAAAAUUAAAUCACUGUGAUAAAUUGUAUAGAAUAUAGAUGAUUUAAGACAUGAUGCAAAUAAAACAUAGUUAAAUAAUUAAUAUAUAGCAUGCCAUAAUAAUAAAGGUGAAUCUAGAGGGUUCACAGGGCUUGAUUCUCCUAAAAUAGAAAAUUAUUAUUUAGAUUUUUUUAAAAAAUUUAAAAUUUUAAAUUAAUAAAAAUAAAAUUGUACUUUGAUUUCCCUAAAAUUAUAAAUUUUUUAUUCAAUCCUUUUAAAAAUUAUAAAGAUAUAAACUAUUAAAAAUUAAAUUUUCAUUUGGCCCCCUAAAAAAAUAUUCUGGCUUCGCCCCUGCAUGAUAAUAAUAUUAAUACAACACAAAUACACAAAAAAAUCAAAAUCUAUACAUAACAAUUAUUUACUUGUAUAAUUUUAUAAUAUUUUGAAUACAAAGAAAUAACACAAACAAUUUUCUCUAAAUUGAAUCACUCAAAUAAAAUAUUUUAAAUAUCUCAUGAUUUUAAAAUAUACUAUAAGGAUAAUUUUUUAAAAAUAAUUUAUUAUGAUAAAUCAUAUAAAUUAAAUAAAGAAACAAUACUAAUCCAACAUAAAAGAAAUGUAAUAAUAAUAUCAUAAAAAAUAUGUUCUUAGUUAAUGAUUUAGUCUGUACUUUGAGAAUUAGAGAAAACUCGAGUUCGAGAUUCAAUUAUAUAUGAGAAAAGUAUUAACAACCUCACAAUAACUUAAUACAUGUUGUUUUAAAAUUUUGAACCCAGUAUUUAAAUAUGAUCCCGUAAAAUUUAAGAAUGCAUGAAAUUUAUUAAUUAAGUGAAUUUGAUUUUGGAAAUAAACAAAAUACUCAAUUUAAUUUUAUUAUAUUUUUUAAAAUUUACUCACAUUAUAACAUUAAGAACAACAAAUGAGAGCGUAUCCAGUAAUUUUGGCAACAAUCUCUUUAAUUUUCGUAAUGCUAAAAUAUUACCUUUUUUUUUAAAAUUAAAUCGAUGUAAAGAAAUUCAUAGGUGCAUUUUCAUAUAAAUAAUUGAAUUAUUCAAAAUUACAUGCAUUUAGAGAUAAAUAUUUUACCCAGCACUACGCUUGUUCGACUCGUAAAAGGCAAAAAUUAGGAUUCAAAAUUAAAUUAUAAUUUUUAUGAUAAUAAAAAUUACUUAGGACAUCAUGUUCUCAAAAACUCAAACCUUUAUCAACAUAGAAUUGAAUCGAAUAUCGUUUUCAUCUUCCCAAGUUUCUAUACAUAAACUAUGAACACGGAAUUAAACAAUACAAAAAUGGUAUUCUUCUUCCAUUGACAUUUGAUAUCAGCUUCAGAAAAGGCAAAAGACAAGAAUAAAGAGAUAAAACAAAAGAUUAAAUCAAUCCUAUAUCCUUGACUGACAUAAUUUACCUUAAAAACUCUAUACUUUAACCAAUCCCACCUAUAUGAUUUUUCUGUUUUCCUAUACAUAACUUAAAGCUUACUUGGAACCAAGUCAUUGUAUUGUAUUUCAUGUAAUUUUUUGAAGCAGAUCCUCAUCUCCUCCAUCUGCAUUGAAGGAAUAGAUGUCGACCGGGGCCACCGUGCAACCCAUGGCAUUCUGCUUGGUUCUUUUAUUACAAAAGGAGCCUCGGUGUUUGUCUAGAUAGAUUACAAUCACGGUGAUAUCGUCGUGAAAAUGGCGCCUUAUCCCCUUUUUUAUUUUCUUGAUGUCACUGUAUCUCAUCUCCCUUUUCUUUGCAACUUCUUGAAGUACAGCUCUUACCAAUCUCCUGGCAAUACCCUGCAAGCAUUCAAGCAAACAAAUAUCAAUAAUGAAAUGCAUUGCAUUUCCAUAGGUUUCAUUAGGUUAAUGGAAGAACACGAAUACUCACGGCUCUCGGGUUUUUGAAAACGAUGUUUACAGCAGCUUCAUCACUCAACUGCUCCCAUAGGCCGUCUGAUGCAAAGAUGAGGAAUUGAUCCUGUGGCUUAAGCUUUCUAAUAAGGAUCGUUCUGCUGUAAUAACCGGCCUUUUAAGAGGAACAGGGUUUCCGAACUGCUGGAAGAUCGGAUCUCUAUAAAACUCAGGUUUCUUCAGGUAAACAUCACCUAUAGAUCUUGACACCUGAAAUAAGAAAAACAAAAAUGGCUUAGACCAGCAUGAUCACUCACAUGCUCAAAGAUCAUGUAUUAAUCAAUCAUCUCCAGUUCUACAAUCCAAUGUAAGAUAAAAGCUAAUGCAUCUUAUUCUCUCGAUUCGUGAAUGGAUCGAAGUAAAAAGCUCAACUUGCCUACCAAAGUAAAGGGGAACAACAUCACAAAAAGAGAAGAAAAACAUAAAAACGAGAGAGCAUCGAUUCCUUGCAGUUACAUAAGCCUAGCUUUAUGCUUCAGGGGCCUGCAUUUGUCCAUCUCAUGCAUAUAAGGCAUACUAUAUGGAAAAUAGCAGCAUGAAACAGUACUGGAAAUCAGACCAAAAUAUUCUUGGAAAAGUCGAAAAACUCAGAAUUAUAACCAUUUUUUAGAAUGAACUUCCAUUCUAAUGCACAAUGUAUACAUCCAUAAUUAUACCUCUCCAUCAAGCAAAAAGAAACAAAAUGGUUGCAAGCAAUGCCUACGAAGAGGAAGUUAAUUGGCAACUAAUUCUAGAAUCAACAUAUUGAUCAUUUCUCAAGCAGACUAGUUUUGAACUAAACGAUUAUAAAUCAACUUGUCAAUAAAAUUGUACCUGGAUUAUGCCCUUAAUCUUCCAAACUCCGCGGGUGUAAACGACUAUAUGUGAGUCAUCUGGAUGAAGUUCCUCGACCUCCUUUCGAACUUCCUCGACUCCAACAUUAUGAUCAGUUGACAACCUCUCUGCCACUACUGUGUUUUCCUUAUCCCCCGAAGCUUUCCUGCCAAGAACAGCUCUCGAGUCACCGAGAUUCGCCACGUAUAACACAUCAUUCGAAAUUGCACCAACUAGACAGCAUGAUCCAACCGAAGCAAUUUGAGGCCUCACGGACAAUGAUCGCUUCACCAAACGCAAAAACUCCUCUUCAGUGGCAUUGAAUGCCUUCUUUAUCACAUCUGCAGAUAAUCCCCCUUGUUCUGUAGCAAAUUCUACAAUGAAUAAAGAAAAAAAAAUUUAAGGGUCUCCAUCAAUCUUUUUUAGAAUCCAAGUGCAUGCUUAUCACUGAAAAGUGUGCAAAACAAAGAAAAAUAAAUGACCUGAAAAAUGCCAAAACUUGAACUACACUUACUAAUUAUUCCGAAAAAUUCAAGUCCAGACAACCCCAAGUAGAUACAAAUUUAGACAAAUAGUUCAUAUUCUCUUUUCCCAUCAAAACAUAGUGCUACAUGACUGUGGAGCGGGGCAAGAUAGAUAUUGUCAAAUUCAUUACUGUUCCAUUGCUGGCAUGAUCUGCCUCGACCCCACUCUGCUUCGCCAUAAAUGUUAAAACUUGAAUAUCAUUACUUUUAAUAUGCAUAAUCUAUCAAUACCUCACCUAAUAUAUACAUUUUUACUCGUUUUAAAAGUUAAAUAUAUAAGAAUAGAGCAAAUAUCAAAAUUAAGUGCCCCAUUGGUCCCUCUUUUACUGUUAAAAAUUAGAAAAAGAAAGUCUAUUUGGAGUCAUCAGUUCGAAAUCUAUCAAACUAAAUACAUAUUUGAUGAUUCCAUAGACAACUUAUGAUUUUCCUGACAAGGUCAUAUCUAUAUACAUACAUGAUCACAUGUUCAUUCAUGUCAUACAUACAUAGGAAUGUUGAAAUAAAGAGGGAAAAAGGGAAUUACUGUGGAGAAAAGGGAAGAGAUGUUUGUUAACAAAACGGGAAGCUUCCGGACCGCCAUGACCAUCGUAGACGCCAACGUAGGUAGCAAAAGGAGAGGUGAAGACUUGGCUUUGAUCUUCGAGACAGUUGUUAGCCUGCACGACGGCGAUGGAGAAAUCACCGGAAGCGUGGGGUUUAAGGUCAGCGUGCCACAUGAGAGCAUCCCCACCAGCUCUAACGCCAAGACAACGUUCGAGCGGCCUGGAAAGGGACCGUAACAUCAUCAUCAUCGUGUUUAAAAAAUAAUAAUAAUCCCUUUAUAGGGGAUUUGAUUAAAUGAAAACCUUUUCGAUGGUUUCAAUGGGGGGUUUCACUUUGGGGGAGAGGAAAAUGGAAAGAUAUUAAGAGGGAAAGAGAGAGUAGAGAGUGGGGUAAAGUGAAUGGAAAAGAAAUGCCGCGUAAAGAGAGGCAGAUGAUGAUGACCAACGACCCCCGAUGCUUGCUGUAAUUACUUCCCACUCUACGCGUUAACCACCCUUUUUCUUCUUUUUUGACUUUUAAACCCAAAUCCUUUUCUUUUAUUUUUAAUUUAUUGAAUGGAGACACUUAGGUCUAAUUUAAUAUUUCAAUUUUUAAAGAAUCGUAUCAGUGAUUGAAUUAUGUAUCUACUUAUUCUCGAUUUAAUCGGUUAGUUUAGCUCAAUUUAGGCCUGUUCAGAUUAUUCAACUUAAAAAUUUGUUCGAAAAGUGAGAUGAUUUAGGUAAAAAUAUAUGUUUAAAAAAUAAAUUUUAAUAAAAAAAUAAGGUAUAUUUUUUAAAUAGAUUGAGUCUUAAUAUUUUUUUGUUCAGGCUCAACUUGAUCUGGCUCAAAUUUGUAAAAAAAAAAAAUGUUGUUACUUUGUCAUUGUUUUACUGUCAUUUCGCUAUUAUAUUAUUACUAUUUUAUUGUUUUUGUUUAGAUAUUGUAUAAUUAUUUUUUUAUUGUUGAUUUGGCUACUAUUUUAGAACCAUUUGCUUACUAAGUUGCACUUAUAUCUUGGUGUUAGUUAAGUAUAAAUAUCUUUUAAAAAUUUGUUUUCAAUUUAUUGGGAAACAUUUAUUGCUCCAACUGACCUAUGGAUAGCUCUAGUUCAAUCCUUUUGCCCGAAUUGAUAUAUCAAUUGAUUUAUUGGUUCAACUAAUUCGAUUAGUUGAUUUUAUUUGAUUUGAUUCAAAAACACUAAGUGUUAUUUCAAGUUUAACUUAAUUUAUAUUUGUGUUGAUAGUUUAAAUUAUUUUAAUUUUAAAUCAUUCAAAUUCAACACUUAAUUUUUUGGGUCAGAUCGUUUUAGGACUAUUUCAUAUUAUAAUUUUAUAAAAAGGAAGUUGAACUGAAUAAUAUUUAAGUUUUUGAGUUGAAAUUCAAAUCAAUGUUAUUAAAUUGGGUCAUAAUUAAUAGGUGUACUAGAAUCUAAUUACAAAUAUAUAUCUAUAAGAUAAAACCAAAAAUAAAGGAUUAACAUCUGACCAAGUAUUGACAAUGCAUUGUUAUCCACAAAUUUAAUUAGAUACAAAACAAGAUAAACACUGUAAUGUGAAUUUCGUAUGUUAACUUAACGGUUAGGAUAUUCAUCGCUUCAAAUGUGAUUUGGGAUUGAGUCACAUUAUCUCUAAUAUGUCCUCUACCAAAGAAAAUGGAGGACUAAAGUUUGAAAUCUUAUUUAGUAUUUACAGCCAUGAUCAAUUUCUCUUUAUGAUCUCCACCCAUACAAUAAAUGUGAAAAGUGUAGCAGUACGAAUACCAUGUUUUUAUAGGGGCCGCCAUUCAAGAAUAUAUUACUUCCUCUGAACCUGACACUAAGGCAUGGAUAGCAACUUACAAUGUAUCAAAUUAAACACUAAAAUUAAACUCAUAUAUCAAAUUGAGAUUUAAAAAAAAACACUCAAAUACAAAAUUUGACAUUAAAAUCAAACGCAAGUACCGAAAAAUAUAUUAAUCCAUAUUCAUAAACCUUUUUCUUUGUUUUUGCACCCGUCAAAAUUCCAAGACUUACAUAUCUCUAAUUAAGAGCAUCAUCAUUUACAAAAAUUAAAAAAUUAAUCCCUCUACUUUAAUUUGUUAUAAUUUGUCCCACGUAAGUUAUAACAACCGAAAAGUUAAUCUAAUUAAGUAAUAUUGUUAAACCUUAUCAUUGAAUUGUUUGUUUGGAAACCAGCAAUUUAACAACUUAUAUGCAACAAAUUAACAAAACUCAUUUGUUCAAGUUCAUGUUUUGAAUAACACCUGGACUAAAUUUCCAAUUUUCAUAUGCUACAAUGACUAAAUUUUGACAAAUUAAAGUAGAGGGACCAACUUCUCAAUUUUCAUAAAGUAGGGGAUGAAAAUCAUAAUUAGACCAUGUAUAUGUUCUAUCGUGUGAGUUGGGGCCUGUUUUAUAGUAUACUUCUACAGUAAGGACAGUCCCCACACGUUCUGAGCCAAGGAUCUAAGCAAGCAAAGUGAAACCUGUGCCCACACGGCAGCUGAGUAAGCACAUCUCCUUCUCCGAAGCUUUCAAGGCAUAUACUGCAAUCUCUUGAUUCCCUUGAUGUCUUCCUUUCAACAUUGAUGUCUUGGCUGCGGAAAAUUUCCAGCGGCAAACGGUCCAGAGCCUCCUGAGUAAGUCCAGGAGGCUUCUUGUUUGUUUCUCGUAACAAUUCGAAUCUUUCUGCUUCAGAGGUUAAUGGGGAACCCCUAGCUGCCAACCCUGUAGAGAGUUCACUUAUGAUCCUAAAAUCAUCGCGCGUUACAUGCUCCCGGUGGGAAGCAUUAGGUGGAGCUCUAUUGCUUCGCCUGAAGAAAACAACAGGAAGAAACCGUAAUGAGAGGGAAAAGAAAAGAUGUACAAAAUGUUUAAAUAGCGGUUAAUGCAGGACCUAACAUAUAUGUGUCCAUUAUUGAAUGCCACGUGCAAGUAAAAUUCAGGAUCGAGUGGUCCACAUGCUUCUCUCAAGCAGUAGAUGGUAGUUAGGAAACGAGUAACACUAAUUCGCUGUGUACAUGAAGUGGUACCAAAAGUGGUCUGGAUAGUCAUAGUGGCUAAUGAUGUUACUACUUAGAACCUAUGUUACUCAGAGUCAGGCAUGAGUUUCAGAUAUGGAUAUGUAUCCAGUACAGGUAUAAUUACUUUUUCUAAGUUUUUCCAUAUAUUUAAAAGAUCCUUGGAGGUCAUAUCCUCGUAUUUGUGUGUCAGACACGAGUGUCAAAUGAAGAGUCCGAGCAACAUAGCUUAGAACCACUAAUAUUACCAUAGAAUAGGAAGCACCAGCAGUGGGACUGGACCAUAUUGAUAGUUAGCAAUGCGAGAACAACAGGCACUAAUGGGCAGAAAGCACCAAUAACAGCAGUGGGCCUGGAAAUUAAGGUACUACUGGUAGGUAAGGAGUGACGAAAGCAAUAUCAGCUUGAAUGUAUAAGCAGAAGUGGGACAGAAAUUUCAAGCAUAAAAACAAAAAUUCAAUCUAUUCAAGAAUAUAUACAUAUAGAGCGAGAGAGAGACUAAAUUCAACUUAAACAUUUUCAAGGAAAAAAAGAAAAAGCCUGCCGAAAUAUGAUGAUUAUGUUAGGCAAUUCCAUAGAAGAAAGUUCAAAUUCACUAGUGACAACCCACCCAACUGACCAGCUGAAAAGUCCAUGGUAAGUUGGAAAAUAGUUUGGACCGAGUGAAAUUAGUCUCAACAUUAACUGGCUACAACCCCUAACAGCUCUACCAUAUGAUACGGUAUCUCUAUUCUUACUGCUAAACCAAGUCAGACUCCUAGUACCCCUAAUACAAGACUACAUAUUUAUCAUUUGGAUUCACUAAUAAUAAGGUAGCACAAUGAACUGCAAGGCACUGAUUCUUCCUACAGGUUACGAUGCAAAUUGCUCAUAUGAUAGACACUUCUUUUGAUCAUAUUGCACCCUCAAUAGAUCCACAAAAUCAAAGUUCAAGAGCAAAAUCAUUCUGAAUUUAGGUAAAACUUUCACAGACACAGAGCUCCACAUGACUUGUCUAUCCUAUCAUCAAACUUCAGAAAUAAGUAAUAGAGAAGAGAUGUGCUGUGCUGUGCUGUCUUUAAAAAAUGAAAUUUGUGACAGACCAAGAAUAGUGGGAUAAAUUUGGUCCAACUUGAGUAGCAAAACAAAUUGAGUGCCACAGGCAAGUUCACCAUCAAUGAUAAAAGUGGCUUCCAAUUGGUGUCAAAGAUCAUGCAGAUAAGAAAGAACAUGAUUCAAUAGCUAUUAUAAUUUACUUGUUCUUGCAGUUUGACCAGUAAUAAUGCUGUACAUAAUACAUGGACAAGAAAUGCAAAUACUAAAAGUUGCAAAUUUGCAGAGAGCUCUAGGUAACCUGUUUGCAGAAACAGACACGCCUCUUAGUCUUUCAACAAGCCUUGCUCUUGCAAGCAGCACAGCUCCAGGAAGCCUCUCAUUUGCUCUCAAACUUUGCCUGCUUGAACUGCUUACACCAUCUGCAUUUAAUCCAUAGCUCGAACUGAGCUCACCAGUACCUUCAUCAAACCCUUCUCUAGCAAGCCUCUCACUUGAUCUCAAACUUUGCCUUCUUGCAUUGCUUACACCGACUGCAUUUAACCCAUUGCUCGAUACAAGCUCGCUGGUACCUUCAUCAAACCGCACUGAUGAACGCUCCUGAAAAAGUAAUAUCCAAAUAUAAGCGAUUCAGGCAAGGAGAAAUAAAUUACAUAGACUAGGUAAUAAUAUCAAACUUCCUUGUUUAUUCUUGUAUAUGUGGCAAAAUCUUACUGCAAGUGAGCUUAGGCUUUGCUUGGUACCAAAGAUGGAAAGGAUGAACAUGGAAAAUUUGUUCAUCAAAUGUUAAGAUUCAUAUCCACCUUAUUACUUUGUAACUUAACCAUCAGAUAAACAAUUUUCCAAUUCACUCCUUUCCGUCGUUCAUAACAAGCAGAGCCUUAGGGUUUAGAAAAAUUGUCAAGAAAAUACCUAUUCUUCAGUAAUUUCACUGAUAAAUUUAGCUUAAAACUAAUAAUUUUCAGAGCAAAGUUCAGUAUUGAAGCAUAAAACAGACAACGAAUAAAGUACCAAUAAAUUGGUUGAAAAUCCAAUUCUUAAAUUAAAAAUAAAAAAAUAAAUAUAUUUUCCCUUCCAAAAAUAAUACUUAAUUCACCCCCAUUUUUCCUUUAAGUUCUCUUUUUUCUCAGCAAUAAAAUAAAAACAAAUACCUAACAAGAAAUAAAUAAUUUGAAAAAAAAAAGGUAAAAGAGAAAUUGAGCGCACAGAGAGCGAGGAAGCACGGGAGCUGAAGUGGCGCACGUGGGGAGACCGGCGGAGGGAAUCACCGCCGUCCAAAUCAUGCCUCUGAUUGUGAUGACUGAGAUGAUUCCGGCGAUGGUAAUUCCGUUCAAUUGAGGACCCAAUCCCUGAAUCCGGAUCGGGUCGACCCACUCUUGACCUUCGUGUGUAGAAUAACUCCGAAGCGCUUGUCAUCCAACUAAAACCCCCAAAUGGUGUUUUGAUCUGAUCUUACCAAUUAAAAUUUAUUUUUAAUUUCUCCAAAAAAAAUUUAAAUAAACAUGCAAAUUGUAAUUUGGAUUAAGAAAUAAAGGAAGAGAAGCUGAUGAACCCUACGAAGAAACGCGGGAGAAAUUCCUGCGAAUGAAAAUCGAUAGCCUUAGCUUCAAAGGAAAUGAAUGGAAAGGGAUGUGCGUUUUUUUAACCCUAAAUGGUUUAAUUCCGGUUUUAGUCCCCCUCCUAAGCUAAAAUGUAAUAUUUAAUCUUAUAUUUUAAUUUUAUAUACUUUCGUCUUUGAUAUUAAAGAAUAAUAUUUGAUACACCGCAAAUACAUUAUCAUCGAACAAUAACAUGAUACUUGAGUAUAAACAAAAUUAGUGAAAGAAUUAUCAAUAAAUAUUAACAAUUUUAUUUAGUUUUUUUUUUAUUUUUAAAUUUCACAUUUCGAAUUUUAGAUAUAUUUAAAUAAAAUUAUUAAUAUUUAUUUAUAAGUCAUUCAUUAUUUUUUAUUUCAUUAGCAUUGAGGUGUCGUGUUAUUAUUCAUUAAUGGUUGACGAUUUAUUUUUAUUAAUUUUUAUCAUUAUAACGAUGAUGUGAAAUCUUUUAUUGACAAUUUUGUUAUGGUCAAGGUAGCCAUAAUAUAUGUUUUUUAAUACAAAUUCUGGAUAAUAAUUAGUAAUAUUAAGAAAGUAAAAAAAUUAAAUCAUGUUAAAUUAAUCGAGGUUUAAGGGUGUAAAAGCUCUUCAAUUUUUUCAAAAAAGCAAUUAAGUCUUUACUUUUUUCACUCAAUUGAGUACUUUAACUUUUAAAAUGCAUAAAAAAGGACCUUCAAACUUUUUCAAAAAAAAUUAAGCCCCUACUUUUUUUUACACUCAAUUUGGCACUUGAACUUUCAAAAUAUAUAUAAAAAAAAACCUUCAAGCUUUUUCAAAAAAAGCAAUUAAGCCCAUACUUUUUUUUUACUCAGUUGAUUGGGUAAUUAAAUUGUCAAAAUGCAUAAAAAAUAACAUUUGAUUGUUAACUUUAACAGUUAACCGUUAAAAUUAACUGCCCCUAAUUUUUUUCAAUUAAAAUCAUCCCGUGUCACAACCACAACAUGACAUAUGACAAAACAAUUAUAAAAAAUAAAAAUCAAUACAAGUUAUAAAAAGUAUUAAACUUUAAUAAAAAUAUAAAAUUUAUUAAAAUUGUAAAAUUUUAUAAAAAUCAUAAAUAAUUAUAAAAUGUAUCAAAAAGGCCCUUUAACCAUCAAUUUUUACCGUUGACUGUUAAAGUUAACGACCCCCAAUUUUUUUCUAAUUAAAGUCAUCACGUAUCGUAAUACAGUGUGGCAUGUGGCAAAAAUGAUAAAAAAAAAUAAAGAACAAUUAAAGUUAUAGAAAAAUUAUAAAAUGCUUGUUUAAAAAUUAUAAAAUACUUCUUUUGGUACGAUAAUUUUUAUAUUUUUUUAUAAAUUUUAUAUUUCUUUACAUUUUUUUAUAAUUUUCUUACAAUUUUUAUAAUUGUUUAUGAUUUUUAUAAUUUUUUUUCUAAUUUUUAAUAUUUUUAUAUUUUUAUUAAAAUUUAAUGAUUUUUUAUAAAUUUUAUUUAUUUUUAAUUUUUAUCAUUGUUUUGCCACAUUUCACGCCAUGGUUGUGACACAAGAUAACUUUAACUGAAAAAAUUAGGGUCAGUUAACUUUAACGGUUUGAUUAUUAAAUUUAACAAUCAAAGGGUCUUUUUUUUAUGCCUUUUGGCAGUUCAAAUACCCAAUUUAGUGUAAAAAAAAUAAAGGUUUAAUUGAUUCUUUUUUUAAAAAAAAAGUUUGAGAGUCUUUUUUGUGCAUUUUGACAAUUCAAGUACCUAAUUGAGUAAAAAAAAAGAACAAGGGUUAAUUAAUUUUCUUGAAAAAAUCUUGAAGAUUUUUUACACCCUUAACCCAUUAAUCAACCAACUGUGUCAUUGAAAUUUGAUGAUUUGGGAAAAUAUCUUGUGAAUAUCAAUUAGAGAAAUUAAAUCUGAAUUUCAAUAUAUUAGAGGGACUAAACCCAGAAAUUUACCGUGAAAAAGAAAAGGUAUAUCUUUAUGUGUUAGUUGAAGGACUAGUAUUUAGAUGUAGCCACGCGUUAAACAAAGUGUUCCAUUACAUCAACAUAGAAUUUAUUUUCCUUCAAUAAGAUUUUUUGCGUUGACUGUUGACCAUGGAAAAACUAUAAAUCAAAUUAUUAAUUGAAAAUGAUAUAUAUUCCUUCAAUGAGAAUCUUUUUAUUACCUUAAGUCGAGAAUUUGAUUCUCACCUUGUAUAUGGAGUAGUUUUAGAACUCGUAACUUAAUAUCUACCUCUUAAUAGACCUACAGAAUAGAAAAGAUUAGUUACUAUCUAACUUCAAUAAAUACAUUGAAAAAUAAAAAAAAUCGAUAUUAAAUGAAAUAGACAUAAUAGAUUUCUAAAGUCAACUUUGGUCAAUAUAAAUAGAAAAACUAAAUGAAAUUUGGUUUAGGUAAAUUUUGGGUUCAGAUUAAAUUUAAAAUUUAGUUAAUUUUUAUUUAAGUUAAUUAAGUUUGAUUGUAAUUUUUGAAGGUUUGGUGAUUGGGAUUUAGAUUAUUUCGGGUUAUAAUUACUUUGAGUUUAAGACAUUUUAAGUUAUUUAUUCGGGUCAUGUCUAAUUAUUUAUUUGAAUUGUUUCAAGUUUGGAUUAAUUUGGGUCGAUUUCAUAUUUAGGUUAGACAAAUCAAUUUUCAAGAUAUGAACUAGAGUUGUCUAUAAGCCAAGUCACCUAGUCUGGCCCGAAGGCUCGUCGGCAAAUAGGAGGAUUUUAACAAAAAAAUAUAUGUCCAAAAAUGAGAUUGGACAAAAAAUAAGGCUCGUUUUAAAAAUGGGUCGAGCCUCGGGUAAGGUAUUUUUUUACCCUGGCCUGACCUAGAUUUUACAAUAAAAAAAUUGUUGUUUUGCUACCAUUUCACUAUUAUGUUGUUUCAAUUUGUUGAAAAAUAUUUAUUUUAAUAUUUUUUGUGUAUUAUAUUUUUAAUUUUUUUUUAUAUAAAAAAAUUAAUAGUGUCAGACCAUACCCGGGUUUUAGUAUUUUUAUCCAAGCCAGGCUUGGACAAAAAUUUAAGCUCAUUUUUUUGGGCCAAAUUGGGCCCAAAAAUUUAUCAGGACCAACCUAAUUCGACCAUGGACAAGUUUAUAAAAUAGCUAUUUAUAUAUAAAAAAAAAAUUGUCCAUGAGCUAUUUACUAUUUAGAGUAUUUAAAUAUGUCGAUUGAGAUUUAAUUCUUUUUAUUUUGAGAGGUGGAAUAAAAUAAUUCAAUUAAAGUGUAAUGAUGAUAUACCUAUAAUGCAUUAUAUGUCCCAUUCUUCUAUCUUUUUAGGGAGUCAAUGAUUAUUUAUAGCUAUUAUCUUUAUAUCAAAAAAACAAUUCGACUCAAUAAUUAACUACUUUUGCUAGAUUGAUUUUUGAUUAGAUUAAUAUGUUUUUAGUCAAUUUAAAUUUUAAAAAUUUUCAAAUUAUUUCAAUUUCGAUUAGUUUUAACUUUAGAUCAAUUCUUAUUCAAUUAUAUUUUAGACUCAGAAUUAAAUGGAUCGAAUUAUCAGAUUUAAUGAUUUGUAUGUAAAAUUUUAUUUAAAAUAUUUUAAAUACCACUCUAACACAAUUACAUAAUUCAUAGAUUAUAUAAUUUGAAAUUAUCAUUACACACCACCAUUGAUAAUUUCAGCUUGUAAGUCCUAAUAUUUUAUUCAAAUUUCAUAAAAACCCUUCCUUAUCUCCAUGACUAAUUUUGUUUGAUCAUCACAUAUUUGCAUGGGAAUAGUGGUCAUCAUGAACCGAAGACUCCGGUUUAUCAACACCGUCGACGCUUCGAACCCAGAAACUUGAACCGAAAGAAGCCGCCCGGUCCGGAACGUCAUCCAUCACCCAUUCAUGGCCUUUCGGGAAAUAUAUCCCACUCUUUGGAUGUGGAACCCAACUCGAUGAACUUUUUAUAUCGUCGUUACUCUUGCACUUCUUAUUGAUCUCCCGAUCUGCGCCUGCAAUUUUGCUCAAUGGUCGCUCAACGCGUUUUGCUUCCCUACACCCGAAUAAAGUUUCCAAAAGUCAAACAUAUUUAUUAAGUUCAUAAUGAUUUGCCUCUAAAUUUUGUACUUUUGUAUGGUUUUUUUUUGGUAAAAAUUUUAAUUUUUGGCUUUUCUAAAUACAAAACAAAUUUCAAAUUUCAUUUUUGACCAAACAAAAACAUCUCAAAAUCAUGGCUCAAACUUUAAAACGAUCCCUAAAUUUUAAAAUGUUCUAAUUGAAUCUUUAAAAAUAAAGUAUACCUAAAACACGUUUUAAAUAUGCUCUACAUCAAACAUAAACUAACAUUUAACACCCAGAUAGACAGCGAGAGUGACAAAAAAAACUUGGUUAAUACGAUACUAAUAUUUUUAGGACCCAAUUAAACCAUUUUAAAAUUUAAUGACUAAUUUAAAAUUCAUUCUAUAGAUUAAGAAAAUCUGUUGUAAUCAACCCAAAUAAUAACGACAACAUUACGUACCUUAGCAUCAAAAUCUUGGUUUUGGUAAAAGCAGCUCUUCCCAUGCAAUGCAGCUCUUUAAAACCCCUCAAAAAAGGACUCCAAUGCAAUUAUCUAGGACUUGAUCGUUUGUUUUAUAGAAUGCUUUCGAAAGUGCAGUUUUUGUACUUCAAAUUGUAUCCGAACGAAUGAAUAAAGGUUUGACGAAUAAGUUCGAUUGUGAAGGUCCUAAGAAAAUUAAAAUUUUAGAAUAUUAUAUUUCGGAAUUUCGUCUUUUUAUUUUAAGAAAUUUAAUCAUUUUAUAUUUUUCGGAUUUAAGUAUACAGGUCCAAUUAUUAUUAAAAGUGAUUCGACUAAAAAAUUAAAAAAUAUUUCGAAUUUCAAGUUAAUUGAAUUGAGUUAUUCGAUUUUUUCGAGUCAACUAGAAUAAGUAAUUCGAGUUCGAGUCGAGUUGAAUUUUACAAUUCGAAUAACAGAUUAAUGUGAAUACCCAUUUGAUCCCUGUCAAUUUUAAAAAUAGGUAAAUUUAUCUCUCAACAAAGUUUACAAAAAAAAAUCAAAAUAAUUUUCAAAAAAUUUUAAAUAUAAUUUUUAAAAUUCAGAAUAUUUAUAAAAUAUCAAAAUUGAUAUUUAAAAAAUUUAUAAAAAUUCUAAAUAUAAAAAAAAACUUAAUUUUUUUAAAAAUAAUAAUUUUUGGAAAAUUUAACUAUUUAAGUUUAUCAUACUAAAAUAUCUUCUUCUUUUUUUUCUUAUUAUGCUUUGAAAGAAUUUUCAAAUUUAUAUGUUCUAACAUUGAAUUAGUUAUAUUGUAACAAUAUUUUAAUUUGACAUUUUUUUUUAAUUUCACUUGAUUUGGAAAAUAUUCAAAUCGAGUUAGAAUGAUAAAAUGGGACUCGUCAACUCGAUUAACUCAAAAGUUUUUCACUUGAUUCGAUCGAAUGCUCACCCCAAACUAAUAUCAUAAAAAUUCUUUUGUUAAAUUUAGAUUCGUUACAAUAUUAAUUUUUUUAUUUUAUGACUAUCAAAUUUGUUUUUUUUUUCUUUUCAUUUCAAGGUGUCACAGUAAUGAAUUUAAUAGAAUAAUUUUAACAAUAUUAACAAUUAAUUUUUUUUUGACAUUUAAAAAAUAAAGAAACUAAAUUCUUAAAAAAAAAACCAAAUUUACGAAGAAUCAAAUUGGAAAAUAAAGAGAUAAAUAUAUAUUUUUUGGUGCUUAUGUUUAUCUUUGAUUUUAAUUUUGCUAUUUAUAUAUUUUUUUUUCAAAUUGGUACUUAUGUUGUUUUUAAAUUACACAAAAUGGUAUCAAAUUUAUUAUCUGACGUAUGGAAUGAUGAUGUCAUAAUAACAUUUGGGAAAUUAUAAAAAUUUAUAAAAAAUAUGUAUUAAAAAUUCAAAAUAUAAAAAAUUAUAAUGUUUGAUACCAAAUAAAAAUAACAUAAAAAUCAAUUUUUUUUAUAUAUUUUCAUAUUUUUAUAAAAAGAGUAUCAUUUUUUUAUGAAAAUAUAAAAUCAAUUAUUUUUAAUAAAAAUAACUUUUUUAUAAAUUUUAUUAAAAAUUUAUAUCAAAAUCAUGAAAAUAUUCAUCAAGUCACAAAAAAGAAUUACAAUUUCUUACCCGAAAUAUAUAUUUUAUAUUUCCAGAAUUUUUUAGAUUUUUUUUAUUUAAUUUUUGGAUAAUGACAUCAUCAUCAUCACAUAUUAAAUAAUUAUUGGACCACAAAAUAAAAGUUAGCAUCAUUUAACUUAGGUACCAUUCUGUGUAACAGUAGUCAAACGUGGGUACCAAUUUGAAAUAAAAAAAAGGACCAAAAUGAAUAUUAAGAUCAAAUACAUGUACUAAAGAAUAUAUUUAUUUUUUCAUUAAAAUAGUUUAAAUUAAAUUAUUAUUUUUUGAGAGAAGUCAAAAAUGAAAAUUUUCAUUUAAAAAGAAUUAAAAUAUUAAAUUUUAGGAGGGUCCAAGGAACCAAAGCCUCUAACUGCCGUUAGUUUGCCAUUGUCAUUAUCAAUUUACUCGCCCUGAGAGGAGUUUAGCGGCGAAGCUUGGGGAUAAUUUGUGGCCUUGACCCUCUUAAAUUUAAAUAAUUCAAUUUAAUCUCUUUCAGCCCAUUUAUUAAGGAGAGGUCAACUUCUUUAAGAAAAGUUUAUGAAGUAUGAUUCAUUAAAAGCUAGCGAACAUCCCAAUAAAUCGAUAUUAUUUCAAUUGAAUUUUUUAUCUCCCAAUUUUACGAAGAAUUAAUGGGUUCACAAAAUGAAUAUAUCUUAUUAGAUGUCUAAUAAGACAAAUCACAUACAUCGCAUCGCACUUGAUAUCAUAUACGACAUCGAAAAGCUAGUAUAUUACCACUUAAACUAAACACCUAUUUAUUAUGAAAUCUGUUGCUUCGAAUAAACGAGAAAUAACAAAUUUCUCCCGAAAAAAUCGGCCCCUAUCGUUUCCUCUUUUUCAAAAGUAAAUCUUAAUUCGCUCAGGUGAUUUGGAAUAUUGAGAUUUUUUUAGUGAAAAGAGUGGCAAGUUGGUGUGACACCUAAGGUCACUUUAACAUAUAGCUCUAAAUUCUAGAGACACUGUGAAUCGUUACUUCAGCAUAUGCCUCUUGUUUUUUUUCCUUCUUUCACCAGAAUAUAUUCAAUGCAAAGAACUUAUCUCUUACACAUUUGAUUGUUGGUUAAAUUCGAGUUUUAGUCCCUAUAUUAUACUUCCUUCCUGUUAUCGAUGUUAUACUUUAGUCUAAAUCCAUAAUAUCAACACAACUCCAAAUUCAUUAUAUCAUUUAAACAUUAAAAUUAUCUAUUUAACUUGUGAUUUAAAUAAAAAUUAAAUUAUGGUAUAACCACGAUGUGGAUAAAAAAUAAAAUUAUGUGUUAAUUAUAUUUGUAAAAGAAUGAAAUUUUAAUUAAAACGAUAAAGUUUAAAUUUACUUUAUAAUGCAAUGAUAUUUGAGUCAUUAUCCAAUUGAAUUAGUGCCUAAUAACUCGUAACACCAAUUUAAUUAAUUAUGCACAACAUUAAGUUUUAUUAUCUUUCUUUCUUUAAUAGAUUACAGUCAGUUACUUAAAAAAAUUACAGUUAAUUAUUAUUUUAUAAGGUAAACUAUCAAAAUAGUCAUUUUUGUUUCUCUCAUAUUACAUUUUGGUCACUUAUGUUUGAAAUGUUAAGUUUUAGUCACUUACAUUUAUCGUAUUAUAACAUUUUAGUCACCGAGCGUUUAUUGCCGUUAGCAAUAUAACAAUAAAGCUGAUGUGACACGUUAAAUCAUCAAUUCAAACGAAAAUUUUAAGUUAAAUUAUACAAUUGGUCCCUAUUUAUUUUGAGCAAUUUAUUUUUUUAUAUUCUUUGAAUUUUCUUUUUUCUUUUUUAUUUUCCGUUCUCUUCUGUUUCUCCCUCUAUUUUCUUCCAUUCCCUGUCUUUUUUAACGUAAAUUUUCUAUGUUUUUCAUUUCUUAAAAUUUAUCUAUUUUUUUUCUUUUAUGUACUUCUACGUUAAAAGAUAUGGAGAAGUGGUGAAAAUAGAGGGAGAAGUAG